AGCCUUUGAGUUGUCCUAAGUUGCUCCCAAACAACGGUAGGCAAACAGUUGCAUGCUGAAAUAGGUGGCAGGUUGGCUUUAGCAACAUGCUGAGACAACUGUGGAGAAUUGUCACCGAAACAUAAUAUAAUCAACCAUCAAAUCAGCAUAAACACUACACAAGAGGAAUAAAUUUGCAGAAUAAAAAAUAAAGCAGUAUUACAAAUGUCUUUUUUAUAUAUAUAAUUGUCUGGUCUCAACAGGCCUGAACGGUACCAGUCAUGACGUCUGAGAUAACAGAGUAUACACAGAGAACAAACUGUCCAUUAAAGCAGAAACCCGACAUAAUAACACACAUAUCCGAAAAAGCAAAAGCUCACCCAUGAAAUAUUCAGAAGUCACACAUAGCACUUGCUAUUCUUUUUUAUAUAUAGUUUUCUGUUUUUUGGUUUUUUUGUAUGUCCAUCUACAUUUUUUUUAAUUUUUUUUGGUGUUUUCAUGCUCCCUUUUUCCGAACAAACUGGAUCUUCAUUCCUCAUCCGAAGUAGAAGAGUUGAGCAUGCCGUAACCAGUGAAAACUCGGCAUCUCUUUGUUGUGUAUCAAAAGGUAUCGCUUCUGAGUAAACUUCUCUCGGUCUGCUGCCCAAAAAUAGGCCCACUGCCAUUGCUGUGUAGUCCUCUGAAGGUAGGUGCUUGAUAGCCUAUACUAACUGAAGUUGCUGAUCUAGUAAGGAGAGCUUCACGAGGAUAGUAUGUCCCCUCAAGUCCAACAGAUUGAAGCUGAGACGCCAAUGAAUCAAUGUUGGAUGUCACGGGGGAACGUGAACCAGAAGAAUUUCCAUCAGAAUAAUUUGGUCUGGGAAGCAACCAAAUCUCCCAUCUUGCACGCCUCCGUAUUUUGUCACCCUAACAAAGCAGAAAAAAGUUAAGCCUUUCAAUGGGAACUGUGGUGUGACUGGUAGUAUGUCACCUAAGGAAUAUUUUGAUAAAGAGUGGUCAUAUUCAGGGUUCUUUGUCACCAAUGUUAAAUACAGAGCAAAAGGGAGCAUGCGGCGUUAUACGUGUACAACUAAGGAAAGCAGCGAGUGAACUGGAAUGUGACUGAUUCAAGUGACCUUCAUUACAAGUUCACAUAAGAAUUGCAGCAAUAAGCUGCCAAUUGUAGUAGUGUUUAAAAGUGCAAUCUGACAUGCCAAAUGGCGGCCUAGACUUGUAAUUAACAUAAUUUUUUGUUAAUCAAAGGAACUUUGCAAGUGAAGAUGUGGUGCUCUAUUCAUGUGUGAUGAAAUUUAAAAAAAGACAGCCUGGUGAAAUAUGAGAUCAUGUACUUCCUCCGUUCCUAAAUAUAGUCUUUUUAGAGAUUCCACUAUGCACUACAUAGUGAUGUAUAUUGCUCAAUUUACUCCGUAUGUAGUCCGUAGUGGAAUCUCUAAAGACUUAUAUUUAGGGAGGUAGUAGUAUAGAACCAUAAAAAUGCUCUAAGCAAUUGCUUCAAGAUCCCAUUGUGUGGUUGACCACCAAGGAUACUAAUAGAACUCUUCAGAUAAACAAGAAGGAUAAUCUGGACAUAAACAGGGCAUGCACUCUAAUAUUCUUACCCAGUUGUCUGUAACCAAAGGUGGACAUACAAGCUAUGCCCCGCUGCUAUUGCAUAAAGAGUGACAUAGUAGGCCAUAACUGAAGGAGGAGAUACAAACUUUUUGAAAUGAAUCUAAAUCAUGGUAUCUACAUUUGUGAAGAUUAUAGACCAAACUUAGCAUUGUUGAGUUCAGAAAGAGAAGCCAUUUUCUUUGGAACACUCCUACAACAUCUUCAGCAUGGCAAGAUAUGUUAGAAUAUCAUGUUCAACCCUUCUAAAGUUGUGCUUAAUCGGUUGUUUAUAAGUUAUUUAUAGCAUCACCAAUUAAGUUUAAUUUUAGAUUAAGUCAAAUCAUGGCAAAUGACAUCAGAAAAUUGAUUACCUGUACUUCCACCACAGUAGACUGCAUGACUGUAUCCAAGAUAAACUGUAAACUAUUAGUCAAGUUUUUGACUUGUCCAAUACAAUAUAGGAGCCUUUGGACCUGUGCAAAAUAAUUUAGUUGAGCAAUCUGUCCUUUUCUUGUAAUAAAGAAAACAAAAUAUUUUUUUGAAUACUCUGGAUAGAGUUGUCUCAUCUCAUUAUGCUCAGAAAAGAACACCACAUUUACUAGGCAAUGACCCUUUGAUAUACCAACAGAUGUAGCUUUCGGGAAAAAAAGGGUAUAGCAACAGAUGCACAAGCACAAUUUUUCACAGCUAUAAAUGCUUAAUGAAGUAUAGUGUUGAAUAAGGGCAAACCACAGUCAGCACAAUACACCUGGCAGCUACAAAACAAAAUAGAGUAGCAGAAAAGAGAAAUGGCUCCCUUUCGAACUUGAAAUCUCCAAAACUUUUAACGAGCCCUUUGUUAGCUCUACAAUGAAAAUAUGUGCAAGCCACUUUCAGAGUAGUUUGUGUAUUGUAAGUGACACAUGCUAGGGCUGAUAAGGAUCUCAGGACCAAGGAGUGUAGCAAUGAGGGUAUGGCUUCAAGGAGUGAGGCUAGAGCCAUGGCUCCGCAGAUGAGAGGGAGAAAAGGUUGGGGACAGGGAUUAUAACUUUACUAGUAGUUGAUAAUUCUCAUUGAUUGCAUAAUACACAUGGAUAGAAAAGUCUGACUUGGUGCUGGGAAAGAGGAUCUCUAGUUUCCUAACAAAUGGUAUUUGUACAUUCCUAACUAGAUCGAUCUCCUGCCUUGCAAAACUAUAACUAGUGAAAAGAAAAAUAAGAGCAUUCACUUGGCAAUCUUAUGGGCCAUACCACUGUCUUGCUUAUCUCAACUAUUAAAAAUAAUGCACAUCCAGGACAGAAUGACGCAAAAAUCCACAACAUUUAAACAAGCUAAUGACUAAUCCAGAAGUAUUCCAAGCAUAACAGACAAUCAAAAGUUUUCAGGUCAACAUGACAAGAAGAUGGAGUCAUGGAGAUGGUAUUCUGGAUACACAAUAGGAAAGGGCAAUCAUUCUCAACCUUGGGAAUAAAACUGGGAAUCUACAGAGACAAAAAUCUACUGAUGUCUGCACCAGUUUUUGCUAGCGUCAUGCGACUUUAAGUUUGUUGAGUACAAUAUGAGAAAGCUUAAUCACAUCAAACAAUCAUGCUGACAAGCGAAAAAAUGGAAAAAAUUGUUCUAAAAGAUAACCUGUUUUUCUAUGUCAAAUAUAAUUUUCAAGUAUAACGUACUUUUUGGGACAAAUGUACACAUAAUUUUCAAGUAUCCAAUCUAAAUAUAAUCAAAAAUACUAGUCAAAGUUUUGAGGUUUGACAUUGCUAAUGUCCAGAACGGCAGCUUUUAGGGAUCGUAAAAUUCUAGCAAAUAUAUGAGCAAGACCAAAACUGUUGAAAACAAGAAAAAAUGGAAAAAAAAUUGUUCUAAAAUAUAACUUGCUUUUCUAUGUCAACACUUUAAAGUUCAUAAAUGAGUUAAACUAAUUGUAGGUUCCUUUAAAGUGACAACCAUUGACUAUAUAUAUAGCAGCGACAUUCUUCCAAGCCUUGCAUAAAUACGAGUGACAGUCUUCAACUAUUUCCGUCCAGAAAAAAACAUUUUAACUGCAGACAGUUCACGACAGAGUGGCAGGAAUUGCCCGAAACAGAACUUGAUUGCAGGUGCUACCAAUGAAGUGUUGAUACAUAUGCACUCUACAAUAAACAAUAAUAUAAAGAUAUAUUGAAAACGGCUUGUGAAGUGGUGGGCCAGCAUAGAUGUUACAGGUGGAGCUACAAGGAACACAAACCGUCAGUCCAUGCAAAGUUCAUAUAAAUCUGUGGUGGCAAAAGAAGGUGAAUUCAAGUGCAACAUUACCAGAUCAUACAUAUUCAUAGCAGACCCCAGGAAUUUAGAUAUUAUUUUCCAACUAAAAAUUAAGGAAUUUUGAUAUUAUUUCAUGGAGAAGGUACUUCCUAUAUUCAUGUUAUCGCACUGGUGGUGCACACGACCAGGAGCAGUAGUCCUUUGAGAGACGGUGAAUUUUAACAUGUUCCACCCAAAAACAUGACCACCAGCGCUCCUCUAUUCUAGCAGAACCCAGGAAUUUAGAUGCUCCCUCCGUCCAGAAUUAUAAGAUGUUCCAACUUUUUUUCAUGUGUAUAGACGCGUUUUUUCACUCAUUUCAGUCAGUAUGUAGUCCAUAUUGAGAUAUCCAAAACAUCAUAUAUUUCGGAAGGGAGUAUUAUUUUCCAACUCAAAGAAAGGAAUUUAUAUAUUAUUUCAGAGACACUGUACUUCCUAUGUUCAUGUAACAGAACAUAGAUAUUCAUAGCAGACCCCAGGAAUUUAGAUAUUAUUUUUCAACUCAAUUUUUAUUUUUUACAUCAUGGCUCGCCCCCGCUCCGCUCGUCCCUCCUAGCUCCGCAUUGCCCGCAGCCCCGCCGCCGUUGAAUCCCCGUCGGUAGCCGACCCUCCCUUCCCAGCCCCGCCGCUGCUAUGCCAUGACGUCGUCCAACGCGGACCAAGCCGACCACGGAGCGACCCUCUUCGGUGAGCUCGUGUCCUCCGGUGACCGCUAGCUCGACUCGGGGAGCAAGUCCUCCGCGCGUUCCUACUGCAAGGUCGCCCGCCAUCCCUGCCGACGCACCCUGCCCCUGGCCCCGCGGCGCCACCCAGGCAGCCUGUCAGGAGCCGCCUUGGCCCCCGCUCCGAGGUGCACCGAGCCUCCGACGCCAACGCGGAUGGUUUCCGCCGUUGUCGCCCGACCAUGGUGGCCAGCCCCGCCCACUAGCGCACCGCCCGGCACGGACCCGGGCCGGGACCAAGGGGCCGACAACGACCCAGGCCAUGGCCACGGCCCUGGACGUGCACGUCGCCGCGGCCGCAAGUGUAGGCGCACGGAACCUCAGCCCACCGGCCGCCAACAGCAUGGCGGUGGACAACCUGGGAUGGCACGCCGGUCUCCAAACCUCCCGUGCGGAUGGUGUGGCCACGGCGACGGGAUGGCUUGUCCCGCCCGACACGUAUGGCCGCUCAGCCAAGGAACGACAUGCUAUCGUGGCCUAGUCAGCCUAGAGCCCACCAUCGUCGUCACCCUGCCAAAAAAGGAAAGGGUAAAAGGCAAGAUAAGCCCACUUUACCCAUGGGCCAGGAGGGCAGCGCUAACGCUACCCCUGAGGGCGCGAUAUCAGGCUUGGCAAGGACAGCUGGCAACGCACCAAUGGUUGCGGCUGCAUCGGAUCCGUUUGGAAUCUCUAUAAUCCGGAGGCCACCCACGAGCCUGAGACGAUCGCACGGGACCACCAGCCACCUCCCUUGAUGGGCUUGUCACGACCUGGCCGUUCUUAGCAAGGUCCCAGACUCGCAAGCAGGACGUGCCAGAACAGAUAGCCUCCAUGUCGGGGCAAAGUGGUGCUCACCCGAUUACUGAUGUCAAGAUGGGGCCGAUCCCAUGCACGAACAAGUCCACGACCCAAUCCGCGCGCGAAGAGAUGGAUCGUGAGGCGCACGAUCUUGACUCCCCUCUCUGGCCCGCACACCGCCGAUCCCACCCUCAAAAGGAUCACUACCGCCCUCCCCAGACCAGCGGGACCCGCAGGCACCCAUGCAGAAUUUGAUGGGCCCAAUCACUCCCGGGCCUGCUCCGGCUACCAGCUCCGGUCCCGAGCUGGCACGUCAGAACAUGCAUGGGUCUGGGCCAGGCCGCUUCGCUACCCCACCAUCAUCAUGCGCCGAUCACGCGGACGCGCAACAACCGCUCACUCCUGGACGCUAGGAGACUUCUUGGCCGCAGCCACCAAAGAGCUCAACGUGUUGCUGCCGGCGCCUAGGAAGAGACCACGCGACCCUCNNNNNNNNNNNNNNNNNNNNNNNNNNNNNNNNNNNNNNNNNNNNNNNNNNNNNNNNNNNNNNNNNNNNNNNNNNNNNNNNNNNNNNNNNNNNNNNNNNNNNNNNNNNNNNNNNNNNNNNNNNNNNNNNNNNNNNNNNNNNNNNNNNNNNNNNNNNNNNNNNNNNNNNNNNNNNNNNNNNNNNNNNNNNNNNNNNNNNNNNNNNNNNNNNNNNNNNNNNNNNNNNNNNNNNNNNNNNNCCACCACGCCACCCACCGCCGAAAGACGCGCACAAGUUCAGGUGCUUCGCACACUUGGCAUCGUUGGGACCAACCAGAAGAUCUCAGCCGUUGAGAUGAAGGCAUACAACAACUUGCUUGUGGCGCCCAUCCCGUUGUCAGUGCUAAGGGCCAUCGUUGCACUAGUCAAUCGCGAGAACCCAGCUUGCUUGCCGUCGCAGCAGACUGCCCCGGCGUGCGUUGACAUCGCGUGCGAGACUUAGGGCUCUCCUAGCAGUCCCUCCCCCGUUGGUCCAAUCUUUUAUGGAUCACGGCCUCAAGAUCGUCGUUUUGAAUGUGUGUCGGCUCAAGGCAUGCACGCGGUGCCUUGCUAUCCGCACACAGCUUGACACCACAGACGCGUCCAUUGUAUGCUUGCAAGAAACGAAGAUGGAGUUGCUUUGCUCGCCUUUGUCCUUGACACGCUAGGCUCGGAGUUUGACAACUACACGUACCUCCCGGCCCAGGGAACGUGCAACGAUAUAUUCUUCUCGCGUGGAAAAGCAGUGUCGUGACUAUCACGACCCCUUUGUUCACCGCCAACGCACUCUCGGCCAAGGUCGCCACAACCGCCGACACGCCGUGGUGGCUUAUGGUUGUCUACGGACCUCAGGAAGAAGUGGCCAAGGUCGCCUUCUUGCAGGAGCUGCGAGAGAUCCGAGCAAGCUGCCCCAGACCUUGGAUGCUUUGUGGUGACUUCAAUCUCAUCCUUUGCACCAAGGACAAGAGCACGAGCAAUCUCAAUAGACGCAUGAUGGCCAAAUUCCGCCGACUCGUCAACGACCUCGCACUCAAGGAGGUCUGCCUCAAUGGGCGCCAGUACACAUGGUCGAACGAGCAGUCACCGCUGACGUUGGUGCACCUUGGCCACGUGCUGUGCACCUCGAACAAGAAGACGCACAUGGUGAAUGCCACCUACGGUGCCUUGCGUCUGUCGUGUCGGACCACUGCUCGUUGUUGCUGGAUUGCGUCCCCGCGCCUAUGAUGCAUCGCAGAUUCCAUUUCGAGGACCACUGGUUGCGCAUGGACGGGUUCCACGAUAAAAUGACCACGACUUGGGGUUCCGCUCAUGACCCGGACCCAUUCCGCCGCUGAUGCUGCGCCUACAAGCCACAGCGCGCAGCUUGACGAGUUGGAGUGCCAAAGCAGUAGGCAACGUCAAGGCCAAGCUGGCUGUUUCACACGAGCUCAUUGCGCACUUUGACAAGGCCCUGGAAGAAUGCAUCCUCACGCCUCCUGAAGACUGACCGCGCAAACAACUGAAGGUUUCUUACCCUGGCCUCGCGUCCCUGGAGCAUAUGAUUGCAAGACAGCAUGCCCGCCUCGCCAACCUCAAAGACGAAGACGCCAACACCGCCUUCUUCCACCGACAAUGCUCAGCCUCUCCAUGCACGGCACGGUGCUCACCGAGCACGACGCAAUGGCGGGGGCUGCAUUAUCCGGCACUACGAUGCCCCGGCAUAGCGUAGAGCGCAAACACACGAUGGACCUGUCGCGAGCUCAUCGAGGGGAGCGAUCUCUCAGAUCUUGACGUGCCCUUCUGCCCAACGGAGAUCUGGGAAGCCAUAAAGCGCCUGCCCGCGCGCAAGUCGCCAGGGCCCGAAGGCUUUACUGCUGAAUUCUUGCGGGCGUGUUGGAGCACCAUCAAGUAGGAUUUCGUGGACGUGUUCCAGCAGCUAUUCGAGCUACGCAGCCGAGGCUUCUGCAAGUUAAACCACGCCCUCCUAAUGCUCAUGUCGAAGUGUGUCGACACCGAAGAGCUGCACGAUUAUUGCCCGAUUUGCUUAAUCUAUAUCAUGGCCAAGAUCUUCACCAAGGCACUAUCGUUGCUGCUUUCCCUAAAGCUGGAUCUCCUUGUCAGCCGCAAUCAAAACGUGUUCAUCAUCGAAAGAAGCCUCCAUGAUAACUUCGUGCUCGUCAGGCAAUCACUCCAGCUACUGCACCAACUAGGUGCCCCCAGAGUGAUGCUCAAGGAGAUCCAGAGCCAUCGUAAUAUGAGCGUUGACAAGGAGGGUUCGGGAACCGCUUCCUCGAGUGGGUUGCUAUCCUCUUGUCCUCCGCCAGCACUCGCGUCUUGAUGAAUGGUGUACCAGGCCCCCCUAUUUGGCACCAAGAAGGGCUUCAGCACGACAACUCCUUGUCCCUGCAACUAUUCGUCCUUCAGCGCGCCCAUGAAACUGACAUCCUUGCACAGUUGCAUCCCCAGAGGCUGAUUACAAAGAUAUCGCUCUACGCCGACGAUGUCAUGCUCUUCUGCCAUGCCACAGAGAGCGACGUGUCCGUGAUCAAAGAGAUCCUUGCCUUGUUUGGCAGAGCGUCCGGCCUAAAGGUAAACUACGCUAAGAGCUAUGCCACGGUCCUGCAUGGGGACCAGACCACCGAGUCCAUAUCCAGCUUGGGAUGCCCAGUCACCGAGCUCCCGAUCACCUACCUCGGCAUCCCCUUGACGACGCGCCGCCCCUCCGCUGCGCAACUGCAACCCCUCGUCGACAAGGUCGCCGACCGCCUGCCCAUUUGGAAGGCAUGGCUCAUGAACAAAGCCGGCAGACUGGCCCUUGUCAAGUUCAUCCUUUGUGCCAUCCCGGUCCACCAGUUGCUUGCGUUCGCUCCUCCGAAGAAAACCUUGCAACAGGUCGAGAAACUUCAGAGGGGAUUUCUCUGUUCUGGGCACGCUAUGGCCAAGGGAGGGCAUUGCCAUGUCACUGGCGUCAUGUUUGCCGCCCACACGAGCUUUGCGGCCUUGGAUUCCGCGACUUGGAGCGCACCAGGCUUGCGCUCAGAUUACGAUGGCUCUGGCUCUCGCGAACAGACCCAGCAUGCGCUUGGCAAGGGCUGGACCUCCAAUUCUCCAGCAACGAGCGCGUGCUUUUCUCCACAUCUACCUACACAACCAAUGGGAACGGAAUGAGCGCCUUAUUUUGGGAGGGGAUCGAUGGCUCAAUGGGCGGUCUAUUGGCGAGCUCAUGCCCGCACUCUACAGUUGCAUCCCAAAACGCUCAUGCAAGGCCAGAAUGGUGGCGAAAGGGCUCCAUGGCAAUGCCUGGGCUCGUGACAUUCACGGCGUUCUUGGCAUCCACGAGAUUAGCCAAUACCUGCAGCUUUGGCACAUCACGCAAAGCACUACACUCACUGACACCCUGACCAGCUGAUCUAGAAGUGGACUGCAAAUGGCAUCUACUCGGCGCAAUCCUGCUACGCGGCCACUUUCCAAGGCUCAAUGCACUGCUACUCAUGGAAGCUAAUUUGGAAGUCUUGGGCGCCGCCUCGGGUCAAAUUCUUUCACUGGCUGGCCAACCUCGACCGCUGCUUGACCGCGGAUUGUUUGGCUCGCCACGAUCUACAACAUCACCCACGCUGCCUACUCUGCGAUCUGGCGCCAGAAACGAUACGACACUUGCUGCUGCACUGCCCUUUCACAUGGCAGGCAUGGCAUGAGACGUUGCCUGGCUUCGCAUAUCGACGAAGAUCCCCAACCAAGAGCCCACACUCAUGGACUGGUGGUGGCACGCCAAGGCCAACAUGCCGCAGAUGCAGCGCAAGGUCCUGCAAUCCAUCGCGCUCCUUGUAGCAUAGGGAUAGUUGCGUCUUCGACAACACAACGCCCUCCCUAGACAUGCUAUUGGUUAGAAUCAAGGAGGAAGCCUGCCUCUGGGCAAAGGCCGAAGCCGCAGGACUUAAGAGUGGUUCUGCCCCCUUCAUGGGAUGUGCAUUAAGAGUCUGUAACCUGAUAACCCGAUCGUCCGCCCUCAGACGCUUGUAACUAACUUCCUUUUCAGCGAAAAGAAACGCAAAUCUUUUGCAUUUUCUUGAAAAAAAAAUAACUCAAAAAUAAAAGAAUUUAGAUAUUAUUUCAGGGACAAUGUACUUCCUAAAUUCAUGUUAUCGCACUGGUGGUAGUCCUUAGUGCGAAGGCAGCGCUCCUACUGGUUGCUAGAAAAAAAAUGCAAGUUAUACAUUUUUGUUUCGCUAUAUGGUCAUGUUAGUAACAUUACAACGCCAUUUUUUUUAUAAAAUGUUGCUAUCAAUGUCCAAGUGCGUCCAAUACAAACCACUACGUACAACUUUAAUUUUCAUUUCCUCUAUACUGAUCAUUUAUCCAAACAUUGCUACUACAGAACUAUGGGCUGUCAAGUACAGAAGCACGUGAUAAAUUUCUUUAGUUUGAAGGAACAAGUGUCAAUUCAUGUUCAAUUGCAUCCAAACCAGAAUUUAAAUUAUCUUGGCGUAAAUUUCCAUGUUCUGAUUUCAUUUGCAAGCAAUGAAUGCACACAUCCUAAGACAAUCUAUAUUUUUUAAUGCAGGGAGGUCAGAUAAUAAAACACAAGUGCCAGUGUUAGAAAAUGAUUUGCCAAAAGUAGAAGAAAGAAUCACAAGGUUCAGUGUUUGCAUUUGGACAAAAGAACUAGGACUUACAUAGCACCAUAAACCAAGCAUUGGAGCACACAAUGCGCCGAAUUAACUAACUAUCAAGGGUAGAGUCCGAAAGUGCACGAAUAAUUGCAUAGAUUGAGGCUCUUUAUUUGAUGUUACUUAGAAGUGUCAAUGCUAUUUGUGUAUGGCCAGAUUUCAUUUUAUUGAAAUCCACAACAAACGGCUACAUUUAAAGAGUACUUGAGUAUGUCUCUUCUUGUAACCCGAGAACUUACACCGAUCAGGUAACAGGGGAAGAAAGAAUCAUAAAAAAUUAACUUGGAACAGAUUUAUCUAAUUUAAGAUGUGCAGGAGCUGAAUUCCAAUGCAACUGUAGCUUCAUGUGGCAGAGUCUAAAUUUUCUAGGCAUGAUGUAAAGCUCUUUACCCAAGUUAUAUCAACCACACCAUAAGUAUACAUCCAAUGUCCAACUGAUAGCAAAUCAACCACACCAUUACUAAACAUCCAAUGUUAACUGAUACCAAAAUAGCAAACCUGCAAACUCAGUUUGAAUGGAUAAAAAAAUGCUAAAUGACAACUCUCCAUCUCCCACUCAAUCAGCAAGUAAACAACUAUAGAAGGUGACCAGAACAUUACUAGACUAUUGAUGACUUUCCGAAUAGACUGCUGGAUUAUAGUAGCAAAGCAAUAAAGAACUGGGGAUUUUUCUAAAAUAAAACCACCGUGUAAAACCAGCAAACUAACCUGGUUAAAGCCAGCAAUCAAGGAUAAUGGCACCCAACCACGGUCAUCCAUAUGUCUCCUCAAGAAUAUGUCCUUGCACAAAUUUUCAUCACUGCAAAAAAUGAGCAAGCGGGCAAGCGGCUCAAUAAAAUGACCUCAGUGGUGGCGUAGUGUUUUCUAUAAAUUAAGACGGAGAAAUACCUAAAGUAGUAGUCUAUCUGCACCAGUAGGUCCCUUUGAAGUUGUUCCAGUGGAGAAAUUAGCAUGGCUGGAGGGGUUGGUGGAGGAGGCGCAAAAGGAAGGGCUUGAAGACCAUCCGAAGGGGGCACGGCAAAAUAGUAAACAUGAGGUGCCAUCUCUGCUGUUUAAAAUAAAGCAAAUUAAGGUGACAUAACAAUUGCACAAAGCCAUGUUCUCACAAAGAGCAUGAAUAACAUACCAGGGAAUCCCAUAGGCGCCCCAUAAGGUGGUGUCUGUGGAGCAGCAGUUCCAUAAGGUGGUGUCUGUGGAGUGGCAGGGCCGGCAAAUGGUGGCGCAGGAGGUCCCGCCGCUAAAACAGCCAGAGGAGGAGGAGCCCUAAUGAACGAUGGCUGGUGAACUCGAUGCUGGUGCCCUGGCCCAUGUCCAUCUCUACGGCCGCCACCACGCCGUUGCCCAUCAAACCCACCAUGGUGCUCAUGACCAUGGCGACUACCACCUCCACCAUUACCCCUUCUGCUCCCCCCACCAUAACUGCCACCUCGGCCAUGAGGAUGGGAACCAAAACGGCCAUUUUGAUGAUGAACGCCGGUACCAUUGCUCCGGGCAUUAGGAGAGUAUCCUACAGAUUGCUCUGGAAUAAGAGCAUGCAUCUCUGGCCCGUCAUCCCCUGCAGGCAUCAUCAACACACGCCGGACUGGUGGACUACUGGUCACGUCGUCCUUAACAGUGGUAGCAUCCGGAGCGCCAGAGAUGUCCAAAGACACCGGUAAAAUCACUGUCUCCUGAGACCAUUCCCACAAACAAUCAAAACACAAUCUGGUCAGACCGUACAAAAUAUAAACACCAAAAAUCCUAAAUAGAUCAAACACUGAGACAGGAUCCAACUCCUAUAAUACUAAGUAAAUCGAACACUGAAAUAAACUAACAGCUCACAGUGGAAGGAGGAACGUACCAGUGCAUCCUGAUCAGGGGUAGCAUCCGGAGCGUCGGAGAUGUCCAAGGACACGGGCAAGAUAGCUGCCACCUGAGACCAUUCCAACAAUAGCAAAAGCAAUAUCAUCAGACGGUACGAAAUCUAACCGCAAUAAAUCAUAAAUGAAUCAAGCACUGAUACGAAAUCCAACUCCGAUAGUAAGUAAAUCAGAAACUGAGAUGAACUGACAACUCACAGUGGAAGGGGGAGGAGCGGCCUUAGGCGACGCCUUGGGCGGUGUGGGCGGCUGGGGAGAGGCCAGCCCAGGAAGCGCCGGCCAGGAGUCGGCGUCCAUGAUGGGGCUCCCGGGCGCCACCAGCACCGGCCCGUUCUCCGGGCGCUUCCACGCGGUGGCGGCCGCCCUCUUCGCCGCGACGGGACUACCGUGGGGCGGCGUCCCCGCGCCAGCGAGGGCAGCGUGCGGGUCGGCGGCAACGGAAGCCAUCCUCCACACCUCCUCUAUCCGAUCGGGCGGUGCAGGUUCCACGGGGCGAUGAAUCAAACGCGGAGGCGGUCGGCGGGGAUGACGAUGGCGGAUGGCGGCGGGAUCGGUUCUCAGUGGUACGGCAUGGGUCGAUCGGGGCCGAGAGUUCCAAAUAUUGCCGCGCCGGCGGCGAUCGGAUCGGGGAGGGGGAGCAGCGGGAGGACGAGGAGGAGGCGGUGGUGCGGCGCGGCGGCUCGCUGCUCUUCCCUACCCUUCCCUUCCCACGGGCGGAAUGGACGCGGAGGGGAUCGCCCCCUUGCCGGUGGGGCACAAAAGGGGAGCCGCACGCAGCCAGCCAGGUCCAUUCACACCGUCCCGGGCCGUCCGAUCCGGAUCGAUCGACGGCCGUGGUGCCUCGUGGGCCCCGGCGCCGCUCUAAAGUUGCUCGCGCUGGCGUCUGCUUGGCUGACGAGCGCGCUGGCGCCGCACCACCUGGCCCACCUGGCUGCGGCGCUGGUGGUUGCUGUGGGUGUGACACCUCGGGGGAGUGGGACGGCCGUCCGAUGGAACAUCGACGGCUGCGAGGUUGCGGAGGAUCCACGUCCGGGCAAAGCGUCGUCCGGAUUCGCAAAUCCACCGGCUGCGGACUGCACACGCCGCCCCCGCUACGGCUGUUGCUGGAUUUCAAUAAGUGCGCGUCUCUUCGUUAAACAGACGGAAUUAGCGGACGAGAAAUGUUACUCUGGUUGCGUGUAUCUUCGAUUCAGAUUCGCUGACUUGCCGUCUGGUCUCGUCGGUUGGAUUGAAAAGCGGCGGUUCAGAUCGGAUGCUACAGUGUGGUUAACAUUGAUGUGCUUAACAGUAAUUCCUAUGAACAGUGAUUUGGCAAAUCUCAGCCUACAAUUCUUGAUCCCGCGAGAAAGGCAGCGGGGACUUACUGUGGCUAAGUCAGUGAAUCCGGUCGCAACAUGAUACUUUCUAUUUCGACGAUAAACACACAAUAGGUUUAACGAUCUAUUUGUCAUGGACGUAAUGCCUAUACACUGAUAAUGCCAUGAAUAACGUCAUAAGUAUGUGUUUUUCUAUCAAUUGCCCAACAAUAAUUUAUCUACCAACUGUAUGCUAUGUUCUUGAGAGAGAUUCAUCUAGUGAAAACUAUCGCCUCCGGGUCUAUUCACCAUAUUUACUAAAAUCCUAAAAAGCCCACUGCAAUUUACUUUUUUUUAUUUUCUUUUGCAGUUUAUAUAUUUGUCACCAUCAGAAUUAAUCCUUGCAAUUAAGUACAAGGGGAUUGACAACCCUCUUGCCCGCGUUAGGUGCAAAUAUUUAGUUAGUGUGUGUAUGCACUAUCGACCUUUGUCUGCGUGAAUCUCCUAUUGGUUUGAUAAACCUUGGUUCUCUACUGAGGGAAAUACUAUCCGCUAUUAUGUUGCUUCUCCCUUCCUCUUCGAGAAAAACCCAAUGCAGCUCACAAGUAGCAGUACAUAAUUCCUAUUAGCAAGUAUAAGCACAACAUUCACUCUACCCAUAGGUUUUUUAAUUGUACAAUACACCAAGUGCAAUUUAAAGAACAUUCAUCCAUAUUAGUGAAACCUAGGACAACAUAUAAAGCUUUAGGCAUAGUUGAAACAUGAUACGUCUCCAACGUAUCUAUAAUUUUUUUAUUCUUCCAUGUUGUUAUACUAUCGUUAUUGGAUGUUUUAUAUUCAUUUUAUAGCAACUUUAUAUCAUUUUUUGGGACUAACCUAUUGCCAUAGUGCCCAGUGCCAGUUGCUGCUUUUUGCUUCGCAGAAUAUCCAUAUCAAACGGAGUCCACACGCACCGAAACUUUUUGAAGAUUUUUUUCUGCCUAGAAAAUAACCUGGGAGCCAAGGAAGUGCAGGAGGGAAGGCCUGUGGGGCCCACAAGGCACCAGGGCGCGCCAGUGGCCCCUAGUGUUGGGAAACGUAGCAUGCAAUUUCAAAAAACUUCCUACACUCACGCAAGAUCUAUCUAGGAGAUGCAUAGCAACGAGAGGGGGAGAGUGUGUCUACGUACCCUCGUAGACCAAAAGCGGAAGCGUUUGACAACACGGUAGAACUUCUUCUCGUUCCGACCGAUCAAGCACCGAACGUACGAUACCUCCGAGUUCUGCACACGUUCAGCUCGAUGACGUCUCUCGAACUCUUGAUCUAGCAAAGUGUCGAGGAAGUAGAUGAGUUCCGUCAGCACGACGGCGUGGUGACGAUGAUGGUGAUGUGAUCCGCUCAAGGCUUCGCCUAAGCACUACGAGAAUAUGACCGAGGGUGUAAUCUGUGGAGGGAGACGUCGCACACGGCUAAAAAUUGUUGGUGUGUGUUCUAGCGGUGCCUCCCCCACAUAUAUAGGUUGGAGGGGAGGAGAGGCAGCCAAGGGGGCGCCCCAAGUAGGAGGAAUCCUACUUGAGGUCCUCCCAAUUUGGCCUCCCCCUUUCCUUUUUACCGGAGGGGGGAAAGGGAAGAGAGGGGGAGGAAGGAAAGGGGGGCCGAACCCCCUCCUCCUUCUCCUAUUCGGCCUCCUUCCUUAGGGGCACACUACCCCUUUGUGGGUUGGUGUGCUCCCCUCCUAUGGCCCAUAAGGCCCAUUAAUCUCCCGGGGGNNNNNNNNNNNNNNNNNNNNNNNNNNNNNNNNNNNNNNNNNNNNNNNNNNNNNNNNNNNNNNNNNNNNNNNNNNNNNNNNNNNNNNNNNNNNNNNNNNNNNNNNNNNNNNNNNNNNNNNNNNNNNNNNNNNNNNNNNNNNNNNNNNNNNNNNNNNNNNNNNNNNNNNNNNNNNNNNNNNNNNNNNNNNNNNNNNNNNNNNNNNNNNNNNNNNNNNNNNNNNNNNNNNNNNNNNNNNNNNNGUACCCUGUACACCCUCAAACACUUUCUGUGUCCGAAUGUCAUAGUCAUAUAUAUGAAUCUUUUACCUCUCGACCAUUUCGAGACUCCUCGUCAUGUCCGUGAUCUCAUCCAGAACUCCGAAAAACAUUCGGUCACCAAAUCACAUAACUCAUAUAAUACAAAACCGUCAUCGAGCAUUAAGCGUGCGGACCCUACAGGUUCGAGAACUAUGUAGACAUGACCGAGACACCUCUCAAGUCAAUAACCAAUAGACACUAGUACAGCGACAUCCUAAACAAACGGUUUAAAACCCCUUUCCGCGACGACAUUUGGAACCGUCACCAAGUGAGCAUGGGCGAUAGGGGGGUCCUUUCCACACGACCCAGAAAUCGUCGAGGAUAGGCCCUCGUGGGACCCAGGCUGGGGCCGUGUGCGAUCGGGCGAUGCAUGAAAACCCAAUCAUUUCCAUAGGUAUGUACAUCCCACACGGUGAAUCCCAGAAAUCAUUUCCGUAGGUAUGUACAUCCCACACGGUGAAUCCCAGAAAUCAUUUCCGUAGGUAUGUACAUCCCACACGGUGAAUCCCAGAAAUCAUUUCCGUAGGUAUGUUCAUCCCACACGGUGAAUCCCAGAAAUCAUUUCCGUAGGUAUGUACAUCCCACACGGUGAAUCCCAGAAAAUCAUUUCCGUAGGUAUGUACAUCCCACACAGUUUUUUGUGUGGAAACGUGUGUGCAAGGUGGCCUAACGCAAACAGUUCGCUGUCGGAAGCCGUGUGUGAUUGUUAGUUGAUUGAACACGCCUACUUUCUAGAAAUCGUGCGGGUUGUUUGAGUUCACCGCCCAUGGUGCUGUCUGAGUAACCGUUUGCAAUAGAAAACCCCAAUAAGUAGGGUAAUUAGCCUAUUAUUAAUAAUCCAUGUACUGAUCAAACUGAUAUUUCUUAUAAAACACGCCAGAUAUUUCAUAUUCGUAUAAAAGCAACCAAGAUUUCAUAAUUGAAUUACAUCAGAUAGCUUCGGCACUCAGUUACGCCAUUACACAACAGCACCAAGUUUCACAUGCAGCGUGAAAAACCUUUGGAAAGUAGCAUCAUACACAGUAAAUAGACAUGUGAAUUUCAUCUGGGAAACUGCACAAGCGAAAGGCAAAUAUUGAGCCUUCAGUGAUGUUGAAUGUCCUUGCAACUUUAGGCCAGUGGCUAUGGAUAAUUGCCCGCCCAACCUUCGUCCUCUUUAGCGGAACUUCAAUAUUGUACCGUGGGUGUUGAAUGAGUACCUUCCUCGCCUCUUGACCAUGCAGGUGGUUUGAGAGGUAAUCAUCGGUGAACUGCUUUGAAAAGUAUUGAAAAUGAAGCUAUGCAUAAAUCGCUGUUGUAAAUUUUGAAAUGGUGCAAGGGGUAAAAACAAGGUAAAAGAGUUGGUACCAUCCUAUAGUUGACCGAUGUCUUCUUCAUUGUGUAAGCAAAGAUCUUGCUGUUAUUCGUCGCAAGUUUCUUCAUCGUAACAAUCUUCCUGAGUUUCUUAACUUGACUGAUAUUCAUGGACAUCUCAUUUCCUCAUAUGCAAAAUGGGUCGAACGGUGGGUCUAAGCCUCUGACAACAGGACCUACAUGUGCAAGACCAAAUUGUAAGAAACCUAAAUAUUAGAAUGAUUCCUGCAACUGCACAAUAAUGUGCUAUUAGCCAAAGGACCCUGCUUGAACAAACCUCGAUGGUAAACCGCAGUGUCUCCCAUUGUUUCCCUACAACACACAUAAGGAAGAUCUUGACCAGGUUAACUGAGAGUUGCCAUACUAUCAUGUCGGUGUACAAAAGUAGGGGCUCUCCUUUUGACCCCUUUACUUGUGCACGGGUAGUCAGAGCCGCGCCCACGGCCACACUAAGCAGGGCGGGGGAGGGAUGCCGGAGCAACACCAAGGCCAGAAACACUGAAGAACAAAGGGGCAAGGUGGACUCCCCCGGCAAGAUCCUUGCCGAAGCGACCUCCGCGGCCCCGGCAAGAGCCUUGCCGGGGCAACUUGCCCAACACCAGCAGAGCGAGCCGCCCUUGAGCCCAGGAGUUCCAAACACCGCCAACAACUACAUUGAAACCAAGGCUCGGGAGGCACCUCUGUGGUGACAUGCAGAUCUUUGUCAAGAUCAUGAACACGCAAGAUCAGAUGAGGACCAGAAGACGACGACCCCCGGCGAGACCCUUGCCGGGGACGACCGCGAAGCCACGGCAAGACCCUUGCUGGGGGCCCGACAAGACCCUUGCCGAGGACACCAGCAGGGCCGUAGCCAAGCCCACGUAUGCCAAAGCUCCACCGCCGUCCCCAAGCAGCUGCUAGCUCAACCAACUGGGCAGGCACCUGCGUGGCGACGAACAGCCUCUACACCGACCCAGCAAGCACCUGCGUGGUGGCAUGCAAGUCUUCCUGAAGGCUCCACCACCGCGCCAGCCCAGCAGCCAGCCAACGUGGCGCCAUGACGCCUCGUCAUCUCAGAUGUGUGUCAAAGCCAGGCGUGGCGGCGACAACUGGGACAUGCUUCCUUGUCGUCCCCGAUAAAGUGAGAGGGGCACGACAGCGCAUUAAAUGCGUUUGUCCGACGGUGGCAGAGGAUAGGCUCAUCCACUGUACACCUUUCCACCUCCUGUGUGCCACUGUGGCAGCCCCUUUUUCUUAUAAAAGGAGGCCCGAGGCGACUAGAGGAGGAUUUGGAUCUUUUGGGCAAAGUUGCACCCCGUAGCUAGCUCAAGAACACAAGAACACUCUCAAUACAUCCACCAAAGCAGGACUAGGGUUUUACGCAUCCUCGCGGCCCGAACCUGGGUAAACGAUCCGUGUGCUUCCUGUCAGGCCCGCUCUUUCCACAACCCCGCACCCGCCAACCGUAGAAGGGAUCCCAGGGAUCCCAUAGGUGUCGAUUUCCCCUGACAUCUUUGGCCUGCCAGGUAGGGGGUGCGCAGUUAUGAAAAUCCGGUCUAACAGUCAGCCUAGCAGUUCUUCAUCAUAAUGGCUCCCAAGAAGAAGGUGGUCACAGCGAUUGGUUUGUCGGGAGCCGGAUGGCCCGUACCGGUGCCGGUGAGCAGCGGGCCGGUCGCGGACAGAACCCGAUGCGCGGCCCGCGAGCACCAACAUCGCUCUGGCAGCCAGAGCCUGGCGAGCGGCGUUGUUCGCGCACGAGACGAUGAGCCGCACGCCGCCAAAUCCAAAUACGGAGCCGGGCCCCUCGCAGGCGGUGCGGGGCCCUCCAAGGGUGGCGCCGUGCCACCUACAGGCGGCGCGGCGACCUCCAAGUCGCCUACGCCGGCGCCCACGACGUGCUCUUCUCAGGAUGCGCGCGAUGAGCAGCGCCACCAUGCUGGGGACCCCGGGCGCCGCUGUGGGAAGAGUCCCGUGCAUCACUCACAGGACGGAGGAAGCCAGCAUGCCCGCCGAAGUGCUGGCGAAAAUGGCACACAACCGCUGGGCCGUGAUAGAGCUCCUUCUAACAUGGUUAGAAGUCGGAGCGCGCCACGGUCCGCGCAGCUUUCGCCGCCACCCACGCCAGCAAAAGCUUUGGCGCGUGCACAACUGCUCCUCGACUUCCCUCCUGCCGCAGAAAAGCUCAAUAAGUGGAGAGCCACCAUCCGAAGCCUCGUCGGCGUCGCCAACAAAGACGAGCCACGGCCAGCGGGGCCCUCAGGCCGGCGCUCCGUCGAACCACCGCACGCCAACGGUGGGGGCGGAGGUGCUGCGGCCAUGGUGCACUCUCCUCCUGCACGCCAACCGCCGCGGGUGUCAAUCCGUCGUGAUGACGUUUGUGAUAACAUUUCCAUAGCGUCGUCCCAUCCACAGACCCACCGCGACCAGCGCCAAGUUCUUUGGGAGCGAGCCCAUGAAGACGCUCGAACCACCAUCGAGCGCCGGCGCGAUACGCGCCACCAGCUAGACAGGCGGGCAGGGCCCGCUAUGGACCACCGAGCACCGGGAGGCUCCGGCAGCCUACCUUACGAGGUGGGUUGCCCAGCCUUUACCCGUGAGCUGCGGCAGUUCCAGUGGCCGUCCCACCGCACGUUCAAGCCCGGCGUCAGCGAGAAGUACAAUGACAAGAUCCAUCCGUCAGAGUUCCUCAGCAUCUACACCAUCGCGAUGCAAGCCGCUGGAGCUCGUGACGACAAGGUGCUUGCCAACUACUUCCCAUUGGCCCUGAAACCCAAUGUCAUGUCUUGGUUGAUGCACUUGCCGGCGGAUUCCAUUUCUUCUUGGUCGGAUCUGUGUCAUGAGUUCGUUGGGGCCUUCACUGGAGGCCACCAAGCUCAUGGGCAGGCGAGUGAUUUGCAUAUCAUUCCCCAAAGGGAAGGCGAAAACCUACGCAAGUACAUACAGAGGUUCAGCCGAGUGCAAUACAACAUCUCGGAUGUUCAUCCUGCCGCCGUGAUCAGCGCAUUCCAUCAGAAUGUGCGUAACCGCAAGAUGUAUGAAGAGCUGGCAAUGAACAAGGUCAAGGACGUGGCCGAACUUUACAUUCUGGCCGAUAGAUGUGCCCGGGCUGAAGAGGGAAGGAAGUACCCCAGCGAAGAUGCCGGCGCGGAAACUGACUCUACCGACGAAGACACAACUGCCCCGACGAAGAAGGGUCAGCGUCGCAACAGGAAACGCAAGGGCAAGGAUGUGCUUGCCGUCGAGGGAUCCGACGACACCGGCGCCACCAAGAAGGCCAAGGCAGACGACCCCGGCAAGGAGAUUGCGGGGUGCGCCACUUGCCGGGCCUUGGCGGCUGCCGACAAGCCAGGGGGCUCUGACAAGCAGUAUUGCAAGAUCCACCGCACCAAGGGCCACGACCUCCAGAACUGUCGACAAGUUGAACUGCUUGCUGAAAAGCAAAAAGCCGAGCAUGAGAGGAGGGACAAAGAGAAGGGUCAGGAUGGUGCCGAAGGAUCCGACAAGAAGCGUGGCGGCCAAGGAGGUCGCCGUGGCAAGGACAACCAGAAAGAGAGGCCCGCUCGGGGCCGCGACAAGAAGCAGGAAGACGACGAUCAUGACGAGGACGACGAGUCCGGCGAGCAUGAGUUCCAGAAGGCUACAGAGGCCAUGUGCGUCGAUGGUGGUGCCUCGCUGCAUACUUCUCACCGCCAGCUCAAGCAGUGGGCGCGUGAGAUCAUAGCAGCAGAGCCGUCAUUCGACGCUCAGAAGCCGCUGAAGUGGUCCAGCACGCCCAUCAUCUUUGACGCCGAGGAUCACCCUGAUCGCACAACUGCGGUCGGGUGUUGGCCGUUGUUGGUUUCACCAAUGAUACACAACCUCAAGGUGAACAAGAUGUUGGUUGACGGCGGGGCCGGACUGAACUUGAUCUCACCUGUUGUGAUCAAAAGGCUACAAAUUCCCGAUGGAGACCUCGAGGAGACGGGUACGUUUCAAGGGGUCAACCCGGGAAGGAGUCAGCCGAAGGGCAAGGUCACGCUGCCUGUGACCUUUGGAGGCGAGCUGAACUACAAGAUGUUGAGGAUUGUCUUCGAUGUAGCCGAAAUUCCCUUGCCCUAUAACGGGAUUCUUGGCCGCCCGGCACUAGCCAAGUUCAUGGCAGCAUCACAUUACGCCUACAACAUGCUGAAGAUGCCUGGGCCGAUGACCAUCAUCACCGUUACCUACGACAAGAAGGAUGCAUUGAUUUGCGCCGACCUAUUUUACCGGGAAGCAGUUGCAGCAGCUGCCGCCAAGGCACUUGCUCCUGCCGCUGAAGUCCCGGGAGGGAAGAAGAAGACCGGCAGGACCUCUCGCACCCACUCCGGCAAGCGCACCUCUUCUAAGUGUUGUGCUACCGUCGAGGACGUGCCAGAGAGCUCCACCGGCAAGAGCAGGAAAUCCAAAGCUGCGUCACGAGAGACCAAGAAGGUGUCCGUCAAGGAGGAUGGCAUAAGAGGGGCUUUCACCAUAAGAUCCACCCUCGACAGCAAAUAGGAAAGCGCGCUUGUCAUUUUCCUGUGGGCGAAUGUCGAUGUGUUUGCAUGGCAAGCAUCCGACAUCCACGACGUUCCCAAGGAAGUGAUUGAGCACCAUCUUGUUGUCUGUCCCCAUGCGCGACUCGUCAAGCAGAAGGUUAGGAAGCAAGCUUUAGAACGGCAAGAGUUCAUCACAGAGGAGAUCAGGAAGUUGGAAGCGGCAGGCUUGGUGAGAGGGGUGCUCCAUCCGACGUGGUUGGCCAAUCCGGUGGUGGCGCACAAGGCAAACGGGAAGUGGAGGCUGUGUAUCGGCUACACAGAUAUCAAUAAGGCUUGUCCUAAGGACCCCUUCCUGUUGCCGCGCAUUGACCAGAUUAUCGACUCCACGGUCGGGUGUGAUCUUUUAUCAUUCCUCAACUCCUACUCGGGCUACCACCAGAUCUUCAUGACAAGAGAAGACGAAGAGAAGACAACAUUCACCACCCCAUGUGGUACGUAUUUCUUUUUAUGGAUGCCUUUCGGGUUGAAGAGUGCUGGCUCAACGUUUGCAAGAGCAGUCCAAAUUGGUUUUGAGCCCCAGCUACAUAGAAAUAUGGAAGCUUAUAUGGAUGACAUAGUGGUCACAACCAAGGACAAGGCAACUCUUGUGCAAGACUUAGAAGAGACGUUUGCCAACCUGCGCAAGAUCAACCUCAAGUUGAACCCUGAGAAGUGUGUCUUUGGUGUUUCGUCUGGCAAACUUCUCGGGUUCUUCGUGUCACAUCGUGGGAUUGAGGCAAAUCCAGACAAGAUCAAGGCUAUUGAGCGGAUCAAGGCGCCCAAGCGGAUCAAGGAUGUGCGUCGGCUCACUGGCUGCAUUGCCGCCAUGAGCAGAUUCAUCUCCAAGUCUACUGAGCGUGCCCUUCCCUUUUUCAAAAUCUUGAAAAAGGCGGCCCCAAUGGAGUGGACCCCAGAGGCCGAGGCAACGCUACAGGAUUUGAAGAAAUACCUCUCCUCUACACCGAUACUAGUUGCGCCUAAACCACAAGAGCUGUUGCUGCUGUAUCUGGCGGCAACGAAUCAAGUGGUCAGCACCGCACUAGUGGCACAGAGGGAGGUCGGCGAAGAGGCAGUGGCAACGGCGGGGCUGGCGGAUGGCAAGCCAGAGAUUCCCCCGGCAGGGCCUGGCGCCGGCGAGGCAAGGCCCCCGGCAGAGUCUGACGCCGUCGGGACAGGUCCCGUGCAACCAGAUGAAGUGGUGCGGAGGAAGAAGAUGAUGUAGCACCCGGUUUACUUUGUCAGCUCCCUCUUGCAGGGGGCUAGGUCAAGGUACUCCGGUGUGUAGAAAUUGCUCUUCGGCCUCCUUAUGGCCUCGAGGAAGAUGCGUCAUUACUUCCAGGCACAUGAAAUCACCGUUGUCACCUGCCUCCCGCUGCAACGGAUACUGCAUAACCCGGACGCGACCGGGAGGAUCGUGGAGUGGGCCUUGGAGCUGUCAAGCUUUGGUUUGAAGUUUGAAAGUACUUCGACAAUCCAGAGCAGAGUCUUGGCAGAGUUCAUUGCGGAAUGGACCUCAACGCCCGACGAAGAGAUCCAGGAGACCACUCUUCCCGGCGAGGCGGCAAGUCGCAACUGGAUCAUGUACUUUGACGAGACUUUCUCGCUGCAAGGCGCUGGUGCUGGUGUGCUGCUUGUCGCACCCACCGGAGAGCACCACAAGUAUGUAAUCCAGAUGCACUUCCCCAGGGAGAUGUCCACAAACAACACUGCUGAAUACGAGGGGUUGCUUGCCGGUCUCAGGAUCAUGGCAGACCUCGGGGUUAAGAAGCUCAUCGUCAGGGGUGAUUCACAGCUUGUCGUCAGGCAAGUCAACAAAGAUUAUCAGAGCCCAUUGAUGAAGGCCUAUGUAGAUGAGGUGAGGAAGUUGGAGGAGCGCUUUGAUGGUAUACAAGCGGAGCACGUUCCCCGGGCGGAGAACGACAUCGCCGACUACCUGUCGAAGCGUGCUGCCUUCAAAUUACCUGUGGAACCAGGUACUUUUGUGCUUCGGUUAACUCAACCAUCCGUUGAACCAUCAAUAGAGUAGAACAAGGGGAGGAAAUCAGGCCCCGGCAAGUACUUUCCCGCCGAGCCCCCUGGGGCUGCCGACAAGGAUGUUGCCAUGGAUACUGAGCCUGCCAGGGGGCAGCCAACUCCGACAAGGCGUCAAGCCCUACCGUAGAGACGGCCACUCCCAUGGCAGAGGAAAUGCCUUUGGUCCUUGCCAUCGAGCCCCAGGCUCCGGCAUGGGCACAACAUACCGUCCGAUUCCUCAAAACAAGGGAGCUCCCUGAGGAGCAGGAAGAAGCGGAGGAAGUAGCCCAUUGGUCUGCUAUGUAUCAGUUCCUUGAUGACGUCCUGUAUAGGAAAAGGCCGAACGGUGUGAAAUUGAAGUGCAUUCCCCGGGAGGAAGGACUGGAGAUGUUGGCAGAGAUACAAUGAGGCAUAUGUGGCUCCCACAUAGGGUCGAGGGCCCUUGCCGGCAAGGCGUUCCGGCAAGGUUUCUUCUGGCCCACUGCCCUCCAGGAUGCAACGACACUAGUAACCAAGUGUGAAGCAUGUCAGUUCCAUUCGAAGAAGCUUCAUCAACUAGCUCAAGCCCUUCAAACAAUUCCUCUCUCCUGGCCAUUCUCGGUCUAGGGGAUCGACAUACUGGGCCCUUUCCCCAUGCUGCCGGGGGCUUUGAGUACUUGUACGUUGCAAUCGACAAGUUCACAAAGUGACCGGAGGUGGAGGCAGUGAGAAAGGUGACAACACAUUCAGCCAUCAAGUUCUUCAAGGGGCUAGUCUGCCGUUUUGGUGUGCCCAACAGGGUUAUCACUGACAACGGCAUGUGGUUCACAAGCCACACCUUCAUGCAGUACAGACACAACAUACCGUCCGAUUCCUCCAAACAGGGGAGCUCCUCAAGGAGCAGGAAGAAGCGGAGAAAGUAGCCCGUCGGUCUGCUAUGUAUCAGUUCGUCGAUGACGUCCUAUACAGGAAAAGGCCGAAUGGUGUGAAAUUGAAGUGCAUUCCCCGAGAGGAAGGAGUGGAGCUGUUGGCAGAGAUACACGAAGGCAUAUGUGGCUCCCUGUCGGUGUCAAAACCGGCGGAUCUCGGGUAGGGGGUCCCGAACUGUGCGUCUAAGGUGGAUGGUAACAGGAGGCGGGUGACACAAUGUUUACCCAGGUUCGGGCCCUCUCGAUGGAGGUAAUACACUACUUCCUACUUGAUUGAUCUUGAUGAUAUGAGUAUUACAAGAGUUGAUGUACCACGAGAUCGGAGAGGCUAAACCCUAGAAGCUAGCCUAUGGUAUGAUUGUUGUUGUCCUAUGGACUAAAACCCUUCAGUUUACAUAGACAUCAGAGGGAGCUAGGGAGGAGAUCUACAUAUCCGAAUCGCCAAGCUUGCCUUCCACGCAAAGGAGAGUCCCAUCCGGACAUGGGACGAAGUCUUCAAUCUUGUAUCUUCAUAGUCCAACAGUCCAGCCAAAGUAUAUAGUCCGGCUAUCCGAGGACCCCCUAAUCCAGCACUCCCUCACUCCCACAUAGGGUCGAGGGCCCUUGCUGGCAAGGCGUUCCGGCAAGGUUUCUUCUGGUCCACUACCCUCCAGGAUGCAACAGCACUAGUAACCAAGUGUGAAGCAUGUCAGUUCCAUUCGAAGAAGCUUCAUCAACCAGCUCAAGCCCUUCAAACAAUUCCUCUCUCCUAGCCAUUCUUGGUCUGGGGGCUCGACAUACUCGGCCCUUUCCCCCGUGCUGUCGGGGGCUUUGAGUACUUGUACGUUGCAAUCGACAAGUUCACAAAGUGGCCGGAGGUGGAGGCAGUGAGAAAGGUGACAGCAUAGUCAGCCGUCAAGUUCUUCAAGGGGCUAGUCUGGCAUUUUGGUGUGCCCAACAGGGUUAUCACCGACAACAGCACGCAGUUCACAAGCCACACCUUCAUGCAGUACAUCCAAGACCUCGACAGCAAGGUCUGUUUCGCUUCCGUGGCACACCCAUGGAGCAACGGCCAAGCGAAGAGCGCAAAUGUUGAAGUACUGCGAGGCCUGAGAACAAACGUGGAAAGUACUGCGUGCCCUCCCAAAAGAUUUACCGACAAACGUCCUCCACCCUCGUGGGCCCUCUCUGAAACAAACGUGGAAGACCUUAAGACACAAAUCUUCUGGGCUGCGAGACCUGAAACUUCACCGACAAUUUGAAGAGCGCAAAUGUUGAAGUACUGCACGCCCUCCACCCUCGUGGGCCCCUCGUGGCUCCCCUGACGUACUUCUUUCGCCUAUAUAUCUCCAUAUACACUAAAACGAUCGAGGAGCACAAUAGAUCGGGAGUUCCGCCGCCAUAAGCCUUUGUAGCCACCGAAAGCCAAUCUAGACCCGUUCCGGCACCCUGCCAGAGGGGGGAAUCCCUCUCCGGUGGCCAUCUUCAUCAUACCGGUGCUCUCCAUGACGAGGAGGGAGUAGUUCUCCCUCGGGGCUGAGGGUAUGUACCAGUAGCUAUGUGUUUGAUCUCUCUCUCCCUCUCUCUCGUGUUCUUGAUUUGGCAUGAUCUUGAUGUAUCACGAGCUUUGCUAUUAUUGUUGGAUCUUAUGUUUAUCCUCCCCCUCUACUCUCUUGUAAUGGAUUGAGUUUCCCCUUCGAAGUUAUCUUAUCGGAUUGAGUCUUUAAAGAUUUAAGAACACUUGAUGUAUGUCUUACCGUGCGUAUCUGUGGUGACAAUGGGAUAUCACGUGAUUCACUUGAUGUAUGUUUUGGUGAUCAACUUGCGGGUUCCGCCCAUGAACCUAUGCAUAGGAGUUGGCACACAUUUUCGUUGUGAUUCUCCGGUAGAAACUUUGGGGCACUCUUUGAGGUCCUUUGUGUUGGUUGAAUAGAUGAAUCUGAGAUUGUGUAACGCAUAUCGUAUAAUCAUACCCACGGAUACUUGAGGUGACAUUGGAGUAUCUAGGUGACAUUAGGGUUUUGGUUGAUUUGUGUCUUAAGGUGUUAUUCUAGUACGAACUCUAGGGCUGUUUGUGACACUUAUAGGAAUAGCCCAAGAGAUUGAUUGGAAAAAAUAACUUUGAGGUGGUUUCGUACCCUACCAUAAUCUCUUCGUUUGUUCUCCGCUAUUAGUGACUUUGGAGUGACUCUUUGUUUCAUGUUGAGGCAGAGUUAUAUGAUCCAAUUAUGUUAUUAUUGUUGAGAGAACUUGCACUAGUGAAAGUAUGAACCCUAGGCCUUGCUUCAACGCAUUGCAAUACCGUUUGUGCUCACUUUUAUCAUUAGUUACCUUGCUGUUUUUAUAUUUUCAGAUUACAAAUACCUAUAUCUACCAUCCAUAUUGCACUUGUAUCACCAUCUCUUCGCCGAACUAGUGCACCUAUACAAUUUACCAUUGUAUUGGGUGUGUUGGGGACACAAGAGACUCUUUGUUAUUUGGUUGCAGGGUUGCUUGAGAGAGACCAUCUUCAUCCUACGCCUCCUACGGAUUGAUAAACCUUAGGUCAUCACUUGAGGGAAAUUUGCUACUGUCCUACAAACCUCUGCACUUGGAGGCCCAACAACGUCUAUAAGAAGAAGGUUGUGUAGUAGACAUCAAGCUCUUUUCUGGCGCUAUUGCCAGGGAGGUUAGCGCUUGAAGGUAUAUCUUUAGAUCUUGCAAUAAAAUCUUUUUGUUUCUUGUUUUAUCACUAGUUUAGUCUAUAAAAUAAAACUACAAAAAAAUGGAAUUAAGUUUGCCUCAUACGCUUCAUCUUUUUAAUAUCUUUCGUGAGUAUGAUGGAAAGGAAAAUUGUGCUCAAAUACUAGAAGAAGAAUUACAUAGAAUGCUUGGCAUAAAAUAUGUGAAUGAUGAGCAUGAUUGCAAUGUUGUUAGUAUGAAUUCUUUGAAUAUCCAUGAUACUAAUGAUGAUUGCACUAGUUAUGAUGAAAAUGUCUCCUAUAAACAUGUCAAUUUUUGUGGAGUGCAUUGGGUUUGUAAGUACACACCAAAAAGGGAAGAUAGAUAUUGCAAGAAGCAUAAGUACUUAGAAACUAAAUUGUUGCAAGAAAUACUAGAUGAUUGUGCUGAAAAUUUAAAUUUUCUUGGUCGUACUUGUGGACUUUGCAAUGAACAGGGUCAUUUAGCUAUCCAAUGCAAAUUGUUCCAUGAUCUAAUCGUGUCCAAAAAUUGUGAUGACUUGAUUUCCCUUGCACAUUAUAAUGAACUUAGUUUGCUUAUGGGUUAUGAAGAAAUGAAACAUUUAACUAAUGAUCUUCCAGAAUUUGCCCAUUACAAACUUCUUGGCUUUGAUCUAGAGGAAAUUUAUGUGUAUUGUGCGGUAAAUUGCAUUGAAAAUCCUUAUAUUGCCAAUUACAUAAAAAAAUAUAACAAAUAGAAGAUGAAGAGAAUACUAAUGAAAGGGAAGAGACUUCCCAAUAUCCUCCUAUUAUUUCUUAUGAUGAAUCAGGUAACAAGGAGGAGCCUCCUAUUCAACCAAUCUCAUUAAUAAGGAGCUCCAAAAAGAGGAUUGAACCCACACAUGAUGUGGUGAAGAAUAAGAAAAGAAAAAGAAAGAGAGGUAAAAAGAUAUCUCCCCCAAAUAAUGUUGCUCCUAUUACUAUUGUGCCUCAUGAAAAUAUAAUUGUGGAGGAUAAUGAUACUUCUUAUGAUCUUGGAAAUCUUUUUGGCACUUGCUUGGAAGAAUAUGAUAAUUGCUAUACUAUUGGUGCUAUCCAUAUUAUUGAUGAUGAAAGUGAUUAUGCUUAUGAUACGAAAAGGCCCAAGCUUGGGGAUGCUAUGUUUGAUGAGGAUGCCAUAUUUGAGAAUAUAUUUGCUGAAAUUAAUGUUUGUCCCAAGCUUGGGGAUGCUACGUUUAAUCAAGAUGAUAUUUUUAGUCUCCCAAGUUUUGAUAUGCAAAUUUAUAAUGAUGAUAGCAUGCCUCCUACUCAUGAUGAUUAUUGUGAUGAUACUUAUGCUAUAAAAAGUAGUGAUUAUAUUUAUAAAACUUGUUAUGAUUAUGGUUACCCCUUUUCUGAACAUUACUCUUUUAAUGUAGAAACAAUUUAUAGUAUUCGAGCCUCUUAUGAUACUCCCACUAUUCCGAAUGAGAAGAAUCUUGCUUAUGUGGAGAGUAGUAAAUUUUCUAUGCUUGUAGAUCAUGAAAAGAAUGCUUUAGGUGCUGGUUAUAUUGUUGAAUUUAUUCAUGAUGCUACUGAAAAUUAUUAUGAGGGAGGAACAUAUGCUUGUAGGAAUUGCAAUAAUAUCAAGUUUCCUCUCUAUGUGCUUAAAAUUUUGAAGUUAUGCUUGUUUUACCUUCCUAUGCAAGUUGAUUCUUGUUCCCACAAGUUGUUUGCUCACAAAAUCCCUAUGCAUAGGAAGUAUGUUAGACUUAAAUGUGCUAGUCAUAUUUACGAUGUUUUUAACCAUAAUAAUGCUUUUUGGAGUAAUUCUAAUGCCUUUUCUCUCAUAAUAUGCAAGGUAUACACAAAGAGGGAGAAUUCCGGUAGAUGGAAAUCUGGACCUGGAAAAGCUACGUCAGGCUACCUAUUCUAAACAACUCCAAACAAGCUAAAACUUCACGGAGAAUUUUUAUGGAAUAUAUGAAGAAUAUUGGAGCAAAUAAGUACCAGAGGGGCCCCACCAGGUGGGCGCAACCUACCUGGGCGCGCCCUGGUGGGUUGUGCUCACCCAGGCCCACCUCCGGUGCCCAUCUUCUGGUAUAUAAGUCAUUUUGACCUAUAAAAAUAAGUAGUGGACUUUCGGGAUGGAGCACUGCCGUCUCGAGGUGGAACUUGGGUAGGAGCACUUUUGCCCUCCGGCGGAGCGAUUCCGCCGGGGGAACUUCCCUCCCGGAGGGGGAAAUCAUCGUCAUCAUCAUCACCAACAACUCUCCCAUCUUGGGGAGGGCAAUCUCCAUCAACAUCUUCAACAACACCAUCUCAUCUCAAACCCUAGUUCAUCUCUCUUGUGUUCAAUCUUGUUACCGGAAAUAUAGAUUGGUGCUUGUGGGUGACUAGUAGUGUUGAUUACAUCUUGUAGUUCAUUACUAUAUGGUUUAUUUGGUGGAAGAUUACAUGUUCAAAUCCAAUAUGCUAUUUAAUACCCCUCUGAUCUUGAGCAUGAUUAUUAUUUGUGAGUAGUUACUUUUGUUCUUGAGGUCACGGGAGAAAUCACGUUACAAGUAAUCAUGUGAACUUGAUGUGCGUUUGAUCUUUUGAUAGUAUGUAUGUUGUGAUUCCCUUAGUGGUGUCAUGUGAGCGUCGACUACAUGACACCUCACCAUAUCUGGGCCUAAGGGAAUGCAUUGUGGAGUAGCAAUUAGAUGAUGGGUUGCGAGAGUGACAGAAGCAUAAACCCCAGUUUAUGCGCUAUUUUGUAAGGGACCGAUUGGAUCCAAAACUUUAAUGCUAUGUUUAGAAUUUAUUCUUAAUACAUUUAUCGUAGUUGUGGAUGCUUGCGGGAGGGUUAAUCAUAAGUAGGAGGUUUGUUCAAGUAAGAACAACACCUAAGCACUGGUCCACCCACACAUCAAAUUAUCAAAGUAGCAAACACAAAUCAAGCCAACAUGGUGAAAGUGACUAGAUGAAAAUCCCGUGUACCCUCAAGAAUGCUUUGCUUAUCAUAAGAGACCGUUUUGGACUGUCCUUUGCCUCAAAGGAUUGGGCUACCUUGCUGCACUUUUGCUACUAUUAUCGUUACUUGCUCAUUACAAAUUAUCUUGCUAUCAAACUACUCUGCUACUUAUAAUUUCAGUGCUUGUAGACAUUACCUUGUUGAAAACCACUUGUCAUUUCCUUCUACUCCUCGUUGGGUUCGACGCUCUUACUUAUCGAGGAAAAGCUAUAAUUGAUUGCCUAUACUUGUGGGUCAUCACAUAUCAGGAUGUUUGGUUCCAUCUCCCGCAUAAGGAUUAGCUAGCACUUGUUCUAUCGUACCCGAAGGAAUUUCAUAACCAAUAUUUUUAGUAGGUGCAGUAGGUUGAGGGGUAACUAAUUGUGGUCCCGGUCAAGGUGAAGAUACCCUGAAUAAACCCCUCAAAGGAUUGUUUUCCAUAUUACACUACUAGAAAAAGGGCUAUAGAUGGGAUUGACACUAAUGGCGCACCAGACAAGCGGUGCGCCAUUAGUAUAUACUAAUGGCGCACCACCUUCUGACACGCCAUUAGAGCUGAAACUACUAAUGGCGCACCUGGCCCAGGGUGCGCCAUUAGUAUCAAAUUUUUUUUGAACUAGUGCGCCUGUCCAAACAUACUAAUGGCGCAUCCAGACACAGUGCGCCAUUACUAGUUGUAACUAGUAAUGGCGCACCUGUCGGAAAGUGCGCCACUAAUGUUGUUUUUUUUAUUAUAUUUUUUAUUCCUUUUUUUGCAAAACUACUAAUGGCGCACUGUUUGACGUGCGCCAUUACUAGUUUAAACUAGUAAUGGCGCACUGUGGAACAGUGCGCCAUUAGUAUGUUUUUUUUGCAAAACUACUAAUGGCGCACCACCAGAAGGUGCGCCAUUAGUAACCUGGAUUACUAAUGGCGCAUUUGGAGUUGGUGCGCCAUUAGUAAGUGGGCAGCAACAAGAUAUUUUGGACAGCCUCUCCUACCCACACUCACUUUCUCCCCACUUCAUUCUCUCCACCUCCUCCUUGUCUCGGGUGCCUCCUCUUUUUCACCUCAUUUCCAUCAUAGAUUCAUUCAAUUUAAGUGGUUAAAUUACCUUGUUUUGAUAGGUAAGUAAGGGGGGAAGCUAUAUUUAUGUUGUUCUCCCUACAACAAUGUGCACAUGCACUUUUUAUGGCCUAGCUAGAUCUAUGUAUGUUCGUGGUGUUGCAUAUGCUUGUGGUGUUGCAUAUGUGUUUGUGUUUGGAGGUGUACCGGUAUUUGAAAUGCGAUAGUUGCCAAUAUUUUGCCGGAAUGUUGAUUCAUUUCCGUUUCGGCGAGAAUUUUGGCAUUAAGCAUUCUUUUUGGUCCUAUUUUUAGGGAAAGUCAUGCCAAAAUUUUUCUUGGUUCUAAAAUAUCGUUUUGCUCUACCCCGCAGGCGACCAUGGUCCGCACGAUGACUGAAGGCAUCGUGAAUAGGUUUUUGAGGUCCGCGAAGGCCGAGAUGCUUCAAAAGAACGAGAUGGAGAUAAGAUGUCCGUGUCGAAGAUGCAAGCUGAAGAGCCUUAUUGCGGACCCGGAAUCCGAGCAGGUGCAGGACCACCUGCUCUUGCGUGGUUUCAUGGAUGGCUAUCGGUGGCAAGGUGAUGAAGAUGAUUACGAAGUCAUCCAUGGGGGCCGGGCAAGAAAUGAGGAAGGGCAGCAAGACAACCACCGCGGCUCGGGUGGGCGAGAAGACGAAGAAUCCCCAGGAGAUGAUCACAACGGUGAUGCUGUACACAGUCAUCAUGUAGAAGAUGCAGGACAUGAUGAUGAGGAAGAUGCCAGAGCAGACGACGGGCAUGAUCAUGAAGAUGAUGAUGCCGGCGGAGCAGACGACGCUGGACCAUCGAUGGGCUGGGUGCAGGACCCUCAUAUUCAAGAGCUGCUUCUCAAGCAGACGGAUAACGCAAGAGCUGCCGCCCGAGAGAAAGCCAAGAUGGAUCAACUUGAGUUAGACGCAGUUACUCCAUUGUAUGAAGGAUGCAGGCCUGAGGAUACCCACCUGAAAGUAACGCUCAUGGCUCUGGAGAUGAAGGUAAAACACAAAAUGACCGAUGCAUGCUUCGAUGAGAACAUGUCAUUCUGGCACAAACAUCUUCCCAAGGGGAACAAGUGCCCGACCAAUUUGGAGGAGGCAAAGAAAAUCAUGUGUCCUCUGGAUUUACCGCACGUGAAAUACCAUGUGUGCAUGAACAAUUGCAUCAUUUAUCGGGACGAGCACACGGAGUCUACCAUAUGUCCGGUGUGCGGCGUCACUCGAUACAAGAAGAGGAAGAAAGCUCCUCGAAAAGUGGUGUGGUACUUUCCGAUCACUCCUCGUCUGCAGCGGUAUUUCGCGGACCCUAAGGUAGCAAAGCUCCUGCGUUGGCACACGGAUAGGGAGGAGAAGAAGCGAGAAGAUGACGCAAAUGAUCCGGAGAUAGAUAAAAAAGACAAGAUGCUGAGUCACCCUAAGGAUGCGAGCCAGUGGCAAGCGUUGAACUUCGAAGAUCCAGAAUUUGGGAACGAUCCAAGGAACAUCGUGCUGGGCGCGAGCACCGAUGGAGUCAAUCCGUUUGGCAGCCAGAGAAGCACACAUAGCACCUGGCCUAUGUUUGUGUGGAUGUACAACCUUCCCCCCUGGUUGUGCAUGAAGAGGAAGUACAUUCACAUGAGUAUGCUAAUUGAAGGACUGAAACAACCAAGGAACAACAUCAAUCUGUAUCUGGGGCUGCUGAAAGAGGAGCUUGACACGCUGUGGAAAACGCCAGCCAAUACGUGGGACGCCGCAGAGAAAGAAUAUUUCCCUAUGAGAGCCGCCCUGCUCACGACGGUGCACGACUAUCUCGGUUACGGAUAUGUCACGGGGUAGGUGGUCCACGGAUUUUCUGGAUGCGUCAGGUGCAUGGAUGACACAACGUAUCGCCAGCUAGAUAGAGAUCCCGGGUCUUUGAAAACCGUGUUCAUGGGACAUCGAAGGUGGCUUCACAACGAUGACCCGUGGAGAAAAUGCAAGGAUCUGUUCGAUGGUGAAACCGAACCCCGAGGACGCCCGCGUACGAGGAGCGGCGAGGAAAUAGACGAGCUAUUGAAAAAUUGGAAAGAUUGCCCACUGCCGGGAAAGAAGCAAAAGGCGCCAGAGCCAGGAAAGAAGCGAAAGGCGCCAGAGCCGCUGCUGAAGGUAUGGAAAACAAGGUCUGUUUUCUGGGACUUGCCGUACUGGAAGAUCCACCGUGUGCCUCACAACCUUGAUGUCAUGCAUAUCACGAAGAACGUGUGCGAGAGUCUGCUUGGUACCCUGCUCAACAUGCCAGAGAGGACCAAAGAUGGGCCGAAAGCAAGGGCAGACUUGAAAUCAAUGGGCAUCAGGCAGGAGCUUCACGCUAUAUAUGAUGAUGAUGAUGAUGAGGCGAAGCAGGACACAGAAAGUCGUCGCAAAGGCAAAAAGGCCAAGAAGACCGGAAAUGACUACCCUCCCGCGUGCUUCACUCUAAGUCAGGAGGAGAUCGAGCAGUUUUUCACCUGCCUCGUAGGAGUAAAACUUCCUUACGGUUACGCGGGGAAGAUAAGCAGAUACCUAGACCCAGUGAAGCUGAAGUUCAGCGGGAUGAAGUCUCAUGACUGUCACGUGCUGAUGACGCAGAUACUUCCAGUUGCAAUCCGUGGGAUCAUGGACGCGCACGUCCGUGAAACCCUAUUUGGCCUAUGCAACUUUUUUGACGUCAUCUCUCGGAAGUCUCUUGGCGUGAGGCAACUCAGAAGGCUACAGGAAGGGAUCAUGGUGAUACUAUGCGAGCUUGAGAUGUACUUCCCGCCCGCAUUCUUCGACGUUAUGGUGCAUCUGCUGGUCCAUAUCAUGGACGAUAUCAUCCAACUCGGGCCGACGUUCCUGCACAGCAUGAUGCCAUUCGAAAGGAUGAAUGAUGUCAUCAAAGGAUACGUUCGCAACAUGUCACGUCCAGAGGGAAGCAUAGCCAGGGGCUUUCUGACCGAAGAGUGCAUCUCCUACUGCACGAAUUAUCUAGGCAUCGAGAACCCCGUUGGUCUGCCCGUCAACAGGCACCUCGGUAGGCUCGCUGGAUGGGGUCACCGUGAGGGUCGCCGCGAAAUGCAUGUCGACUUCGAGGGUCGACUCGCCGACUUUGAAAGAGCAAACCUAGUCGCGCUACAACACAUAGACGUGGUCGAUCCUUGGGUGGUAGAGCACAAAACCUUUAUUAAGAAGACGUACAAUGACCGAGGCCAACAGAGGACGGACGGAGAUAUACUCAAAGAGCACAACUCAUGUUUCACGCGUUGGUUCAAGCAGAAGCUUCUGUCGUACCCUUUACAUGAGGAUUCUUCCACGGAAGAACAACUCAUAUUCGCCUUGUCACAGGGCGCCGAGCAUAACCUGAUGACCUAUGAGGCGUACGAUAUCGACGGCUACACAUUCUACACCGAGGCCAAGGACAUGAAGAGCGAUGGUUAUCAGAACUCCGGGGUAACGAUGGAAUCCUACACCGGUAACAACAAGGACAGAUACUACGGAAGGAUCGAGGAGAUCUGGGAGCUGAGCUACGCUGGAGAGAAGGUCCCGAUGUUUCGUGUCAGAUGGGCCAAGAGCGUCCUAAAAUAAGACCGGUAUUUCACCACCAUGGUUAUACCCGAAGCCAAAUCCAAGACCGCGGGCACAAACGUCACCGUGAAAAAUGAGCCAUGGGUACUGGCUUCCCAAGUGGACCAAUGCUUCUUCAUUACCGACCCGUCAAAGCCCAGUCGUGUUGUCGUGAGGAGAGGCAAAAGGAAGAUCAUCGGAAUGGAUGGAGUAGCCAAUGAGCAAGACUUCGACAAGUACGGUGACCCGAGGAUCGAACAUGACGACGAUGAUGAAGUAGCAGCAUACACCACAAGAAGAAGCAGGACCACCCUACCUAAAGGACGUCCGUUCCACAGAAGAACUCCAUUUGCGAAAAAGGGCAAGAAGAUUGUGAACAGAUAGCUAGCUAAGAUCGAUUGUAUUUAAAUCGUAGCCUUCAUUUCUCGGUUGUAUUUCAUGGGCACUUUUUGAACUAUCAUGAAUAUUUUUAAAUUUCAUGGACACUCGAUCUCGAUCCCCCUCCAUCUCGAUCGCUAUCCCACCUCGCCAGAUCAGGCCCCCCUCGCCGCCGAGCACCCCCCGGUCCACCGGCCGCCGCCGCCGACCCCCCGCACCCUCUAUUCCCCUACUCAACCGCCGCCGCNNNNNNNNNNNNNNNNNNNNNNNNNNNNNNNNNNNNNNNNNNNNNNNNNNNNNNNNNNNNNNNNNNNNNNNNNNNNNNNNNNNNNNNNNNNNNNNNNNNNNNNNNNNNNNNNNNNNNNNNNNNNNNNNNNNNNNNNNNNNNNNNNNNNNNNNNNNNNNNNNNNNNNNNNNNNNNNNNNNNNNNNNNNNNNNNNNNNNNNNNNNNNNNNNNNNNNNNNNNNNNNNNNNNNNNNNNNNNNNNNNNNNNNNNNNNNNNNNNNNNNNNNNNNNNNNNNNNNNNNNNNNNNNNNNNNNNNNNNNNNNNNNNNNNNNNNNNNNNNNNNNNNNNNNNNNNNNNNNNNNNNNNNNNNNNNNNNNNNNNNNNNNNNNNNNNNNNNNNNNNNNNNNNNNNNNNNNNNNNNNNNNNNNNNNNNNNNNNNNNNNNNNNNNNNNNNNNNNNNNNNNNNNNNNNNNNNNNNNNNNNAUCUUAUAAAAAAAAUUAUUACUGUCUUAUAAAAAAAUUAUUACUGUCUUAUAAAACAAGUUUGAACAUAUUUAAACACAAAUACUAAUGGCGCACCGGGGUGAGGUGCGCCAUUAGUAUGGAUGUACUUAUGGCGCACCAGGGUGAGGUGCGCCAUUAGUAUGGAUGUACUAAUGGCGCACCAGGGUGAGGUGCGCCAUUAGUAUGGAUGUACUUAUGGCGCACCGAGGGGUGGUGCGCCAUUAGUAUUGUGCCGCCCCCAUCCAUAUUUCCACCCCGGCCCAAACCUAUCCCCUCUCUCUCCCUCGCCCUCGCCCUCGAUCCCCUUCCCCUCUCCUCUCCCGCCGCCGCUGCCCCGCCGCCUCGAUGCUGCCCCGCCACAUCGACGCCGCCCCGACGCCGCCUCGACCCCGCCGCGACGUCUCCAACCACCGCCGCCUGAGGCCCCGACGUCAGCGCCGCUCUCCCCGUCGCCCCACCUCGUUGGACGCCAUCACCCCGCCGCCCUCGUCGCUGGCGGCCCGGACGCCGCCCCGUCCACACCACCGUCGCCGGAGCACCACCACCACCCAGACCUCGUCGCCUCCUCCCUUGCGUUGUCGUCGUCCCCGACAUCCUCCCCGCGCCCCACUGCCCUAUCCCUACGGCCACCAUGAGCUCCCCCUCCUCCUCUCCCCCUCUCCCCCUCGCGCGCACGCGCUUACGUCGUUUAGCACAUUAGGGUAAUGCACCCCCAUCCUCCCUCCUUCCUCCGGAUAUGUUCUUCUUAGUUAUCUGAAUCUAUUCAAGUCUGAAACUGUUAGUGUGAGGUGUCUGCAACUAUUGCAAUCUUGUUGAUAAGUAAAAGAUGAUCUGAAAUUGAAAGCCCAAAUCACAUGAUUCACAAUUAGAUGAUCUGAAUCUAUUAAGCAGUUUUAGACAAUGGUAUGAUUUCUGAGUUGGACCGACCAGGAGAGAUUGUUCAUGAUUAGUAUAUCCCCAAGUUCAACUGUUGCUAACUUCCUAGCUAUAGUUCUUGAUACAUACUUAGAAUUGGUCCACUGAUUAUCUAGGUUUGAUGCACCGUAUUUGUCCCAAGGUUGUCGAUGGUUUUCACCAAUUGAUUGUGUGUUUGCAUUGCCUGCUCGUGCACUUUACUUUAAAUCUGAGCAUCCAAGUACUUAUAUUUACUACAAUAGAUCUAAAUCCAGUAAUGUCAUGUGUGAUCAAGGCUGCAUAAUUAUGUAGGGCUUAAGAGUUUCACUUUGAUGAUGAUGCCCUUUGCUGCUCAAGAUUUUUCAUAUAUGGGCACUGGAACUCACGCAUCUAUUAUUUCGCAGUGAACAUGUAACCUUUUCGCUUUUGCUCUGCAUGUGCUUCUCAGUUUGCUAGCUAUAUCUCUAGGUUCUUGAUUGGCUUCACUAGUUGAUUGGUUGUUUGCAUUGUCUGUUUGUGCUACUUUCCCCCGAGCACCCGUGAUCUAUAUCGAAGAAUGUUACUUUUGAAUUCUGAUUAUGCCGAAUAGUUGUGUAGGGGUAAGAAUUUUCACUUUGAAGAUGCCUUUGGUGUUCUAGAUGUUCCAAUAUGAGCACGAGAACUCAGAUGUCUACUAUUUGCAUUGAAUAGAUAUUAGCAGUUGACCUCUUUGCUUAUGCUCUGUCUGCGCUUGUCAAUUUGGAAAGUCAAUUCAUUUUACCUUGUACCUUAUUGAUUGAGCACUUACUAGGUAAUUUUAGCUUAAAAAUACUAGGUAAUUGCCAUCCGGAUGUGAAGUGCAUAACUAGUAUAUCCCCAAGUGCAUCUGGUGCUAGCUUCCUAGUUAUAGUUCUUGUUACAGACAGAGAGUUGGUCCACUAGUUAUGUAGUUUUUAGGAAAAUGCUAGUAACUUGUGCUUUCAUAUCCUAGUUAUGUAGUUUUUAGGCAAAUGCUAGUAACUUGUGCUUUCAUAUCUCUGUAUUGGUUCGUGUUGCUGUUGUAGUUCUUGAAUUUGUUCAGUUACCUCCUGGUAGGUUAGAUGCAGGUGAUUAGUUUUCCUAGUUUAGGGUUUUCUCAGUGUAUCAGAUUUAAUGAGUCAGCUCUGCUUUAUUCCUGUGUCUAUAUGGUUUUCUAGUGCCUUUCAUUGGAUGUUUUUAAGUGUAAUCCCCAUGUGUUUUUAGCCCUGUAUUGGUUCAGUAGGUGUUUCCUUUAUUUUGUCAGUGUUAGAUCAUCUCACUGAAUUUGUGUGUACAAGCCCUGCAGUGCAGAUGUAUUUUAGUGUAAGCUCAGCAACUUUUGAUGAAUUCUCAGUGUAAUAUACCCCAGAAUUAUAGUGCAAUUUAUCCCAUAUUUUGAGUGUAUUUGUCAGUGUAAUAUACCCUAGAAUUACAGUGUAAUUUAGCCCAUAUUUUCAGUGUAAUCUCCAUGGUUAAAUUUUCUGGUUGCAGUGCAGUUCUUGUUAUAUAUUUCUGGUUGUUAGACUGUUCAGCUAUGCAGAGUGAAAUACAAGUUCAGCAUGUCGAUAAUGAUUUUGGCAGCAGUAUGAGGCAGCAGUGUGCGGCACAAUUCCUUCAUUGGAUAAUGAUUUUGCAGGUACCCCGAGAGGCCCUUGAGUUUGCCGGAAUGUCGAUUAACUUCCGUUCCGGCAAAUUCGGGUACUCCAUAUGUCCUAUUUUCAGCAAAGGUCAUGCUGAAAUUUUCCGUGAAUUUUAGCAUGACUUUGCUAAAAAUAGGACAUAUGGGGUACUUGUGACUAAUGCAUGGGCCGGGGUAUCUUAGUAGUUAAUUAAGUAGGAUCAAGUGCCCCGACGUACUUGUGACUAAUGCAUGUCUUUUAGGGUGCUUCGGUGUCGAUAAAAACCGAAAUGAUGAAAGCUUAGGCUUUUAGGGUGCCUCGGCGUCGAAAAACCCUCAAUGAUAAAAGCUUAGCUUUUAGGAUGCCUCGGUGUCGACAAACCCUAAAUGAUGAGACCAUGAUCUUGUUCCUUGACAAUAACCAACUUUUUGACCAAACUUUGUUCCUAUUUAGAGAGAAACAUGGCCAACAACAAUGAGGUCGGGGGUUCGGGCGUCAAGGCAUUCUGGGAGCUGUCCAAGGAGAUGGAGGAACAACCUCACUUGUAUGAGGACGCCGCCUUCCCCACCGAUCCUGAGACCACUGAUGGUACCACCGAGGAUGACCCCACUGAUGCCACCACUGAUGGUGCCGCCGAGGAUGCCACCACUGAUGAUGGCGGUGCACGCACAGAUGGCAGCCAACCGAAGAGGCAACGGAAGGACCGGCGCCCGACCGUGCUCCGCACCCUCAAGGAGGAAGUUACUGAAGUGGACUCCGACGGGAAUCCAACGGCUCCCGAACGAAUAGUCAAGGGGUACUCGCUUCAGUCGGGUGCAUUCUCCGGAGCACCGCCUUGAUCAACACCGAGAACCUGAGGCAUCCUGACCGAGGGAAUUUGCGCAACCUCCUCUUCACGAAGCUGCAUGAACGAUACAAGUUCCCCGCUGAAUUUGAAAACACAAGCCUUAAAGGGAAUAAAGUGAACAAUGCUGCCCUCACGAAGAUGAGCAAGGCCCUGUCUACUUGGAAAAGCAAUGUGAAGAGAAUGAUCGAGAAAGGUGAGAGUUAUGAGAAGAUCAAGGAGAAAAAUCCUUCGAUCACCGAAGAUGACUACAAAGACUUCAAGAUCAAUUGCUCGAGCACUGCAAACUCCGAAUCAAGUAAAUGGGGGAAAGAAAUGCGGGAGCUGAACUUAGGGGAACACACACUCGGUCCCGGCGGUUACAGAGUGGCGGAGCCUAUAUGGGACAAGGAGGAGGCGGACCGUGCCGAGCAAGGCCUACCGCCCCUCUUCGAUAAAUACGGUGACAAGCAGACCAGGAACUUUGUCAGGGCCCGGUACAAGAAGGACCCGAAAACAAAGGAGCUUACCACGGAUCCGAAGACCAGGGCGCUUGAGCUUGUUCUGGUAAGGAAUACACCCCCGUGUAAUUAGCAUUAGCUCCAUAUGGUUGCAUUCUAAUUAAUGAAGCCAAAUUUCUAAAUGGUUCACAUUCCUUCCACAGGCGACUGAAAGCAGUAGCGCGGGGUCGACUAAGAGCAACCCUUGGGACACCACUCUAAAUAGGGCGUUGAAUGUAAUGAAGAACAAGGAUAAGCUUAGUAAGCCGACGUCAGCUGGUCGUGUGGCCGGCAAAGGCUUGUCGACAAAAUGGUCGUCAUACUAUAACACUGGUGGGCGAAAGGAGAAAAAGACCCAGCUCGGAAAGCCAGGCGCGCGAGGUUCAAGAACUCAGGGCACAGGUGGCGCGGAUUCCGGAGAUUGUCCAAGAGCAAGUGGAACAACAACUCGGAAGGACGAUCACCGCCAUUGUGCCUACCUUGAUCCAGGGGAUUAGUGCGUGGAUUGCGGGCGGCCAACAGGGGCCGCCCCCGAUUCCUAGCUUCACGGCCAGCAACUCUCAGAACGCGAUGUCGGGGCCAUUGGUGUCUCCGACGCCGGCACGGGAGCUUAAUGCACCCGGGUGUACGCCGGCCGGCACCUCUGCAGCAAGCGGCCCCUCCGUCAACUGCACGCCCGCCGUUGGCGGUGCCUCGACAUUAGCCGAGCUCGACGCCAUCAUCACGGUAAUUAAUUAAGCCUCUCUCGGCCGAGGACUUCAUCUCCUUGCCUUUGACUGGGCAUCCCUGACGCCCUACAUGUUUUCGCAGGGCACCGCCGACGUUCCGUGCACUCUCCUGCACUUCGUGAACAACGAGUUGGUCGAUGUCGCCAAGGGAAAAAUUGUUCAACCGGGAAACCCCUUGUUCCAUGGUACCCAGAUGCCACCCAACUUGUUUAGGGUUCAACUGGUUCGGGUGCUGCCAGGCUGCGACGAGUUGUUACCUCCGAUUCGACCCGUCGGGGCCGACGAUGAUGACGUGAUGACCCUCAGCGCCUGCCUGAGCUGGCCCCUGCUUUGGCCGAAGAGCCAGAUUCGUUUGGGGGCGGGGGACACCACCCCAAAGACAACACCGCCAGUCGUGCCGGCGCCAAGUCGGCCCCAUGGCAAGACCGCCGCAACGGUGCCGGACAUCCCUAUUCCACUGGAUCCAAACAUGCAUAUGGCACAGGAUCAGAACGACGACGAUGAUGAUACAUUUGCCAAUGUCGAUCAGUACUUUGCCGAUCAUGGGUACGGUGGCGACUUCAUGGGGCCUCCUUCUCAAGAACCCAACCCAACAAAAGACGUGCGCGAUCUAGCUGGUACCGCAGAGAAGCCAAGUUGCAACAGGCGUCGUCUGCCGUUCAACUCUCAGGAGACGCCUCCAGCUGCCGACUUCAUCGAGCCUCAGAUAGGCGAGGUGCGAAAUAUUAUCAGCCCCAACACACUCAAGAAGGCGGUCUGUGAGCAGAACUCGGUCCCAUUACAGGAGAAGAAGAAGGCACGCAAAAGAAAGACUAACAAGGGUGCGGGCCAGCCGGCACCGAGUAUGAUCCGUGCUCAGGACGGGCCACCUUCACUUGAGGAUAUCUCGAGGAGGGUGCAUGUGGCGGGUAGGCCGAUGCUACCGAGGAAUAUGCUCGAUGCUGCAACCGGUGCUAUGCGGAGUCUGCAUGACAGUGUUCUUUCUUUGGAGAAGCGGCGUCUCGGAGAGAAGGAUGUGGCAUACCCGGUUUUCGCGGCCAAGGUGCCAGAGGGCAAGGGCUUUGUGGAUAACUCCAACAGGGGUACAAUCGUCCUGCGGUUUGAUGACAUCCACGCUAUGUUGAACCUUCAUCCGCUGCACUACACCUUCGUUCGGCUAUUUUUGCUGAGUAUGGAGAUGCGGAUCAUUCGCGACAAGACCCCGGACAUCGUGAUAGUCGACCCCUUCUACAUGCGUGCCAAGAUCUUGGGCAGCGCUGGGGACCAGCAAGUCGCGACUUCUUACCUCGAAGGCGUCAUUCUGGCAAACCAAGAUAAGGAUAACUUCCUCGUGCCUUACUUUCCCAAGUAAGUCCUCCCCUCAACCGCCCCGUAACAUAUGAAUUCUUAGAUUUCGAUCGUUUUUCUUUUAACAUUCCGUGUUUUCUGCAGUGACACACAUUGCACGCUCAUCCUCCUAAGCCCCAAAUAUUCCAUGGCCACGUAUUUCGACCCGGACCAUCAGUCGAAUGUAGACUACACAAAUGUCAAGAAGGUUCUUGAUGAUGUUCUCCCCGGCUACGUCAAAUCUGGAGGCACCUUCACCAGGCCUAUUCGUAAGUACGGCAAGCACGUGUUCUCCCACAAUACGACGUUCUGCUACGUCAAGCAGCCGCCUGGCAGUCAGAAGGGUGCCUACUACGCCAUCCAUCACAUGCGGGCGAUCGUACGGGACCAUCAUCAACUUCUGCUACCGAGUAAACUCAAAGAUUGGGCCGCGAGCGUGUCGGCAAUCCAGGACGCGGACAUCAGACAAGAAUUCUUUCGCAUCCAGUCGGAGUUUGCGGAAAUCAUCCAUCAAGAUGUCCUUCGUACCUCGGGGCAGUUCUACCUCAGAAAUCAACUCUCCAAUAGUGACAUUGACACAAUGCUACAAAUGCAGGCUAACAACGACCGUUAUUUCAUGACUCCCACGAUAGACGGCGGCUUCAUCCAUGCUCCGGUCCCUUGAGUCGAGUCGAAAGCAGUGAUGCUGUGUCUAGUUCUGAAACAUCGAUUGGCUCAUGUUGUAAUUAAACUUUAAUGAACUUGUAGUAUGUCUCUUUGGUUUCGAGAGUCGUUCAACUUAGAUGUAAUCGAUGCUAUUAAUGUCUUGCUUUUCUCUUCCGAUCGUUCUGUUGCAUACUUAUAUAUUGCUUAUGUAUUGUCUGUGAAUUGGUACUAACGUUUCGUUUGGCUACUGCAUAGCGAUGCCGUCGUAUGUCGUGUACAAGGGUAAGGUUCCCGGAGUCUACGACGACUGGGAGGAGUGUCGGAGACAGGUUCACCGAUUCAGCGGUAACAGUUACAAAGGGUACACCACUAGGGCCGAGGCCGAAUCUAGAUACGCCCGCUAUCUAGCGGGAGAGGGGAGGGAGCGCUGGAGGAACCGGAUGAAGAUGAGUUUCAUUGUGAUGAUGCUCAUCGUGAUGACCGCAGCUCUCUUCUAUGUGAUGGUAGUUUAGAUGAUCGAUAUCGACUUGUAAUGUGAAGACAAACUCGCUACUCGCGGUCUCGAGACUUGUAAUAUAAUGUUCUAUCUUUGUUCGGUCUUUUCAAUUCGGAGACUAAUAUGAUGAAUUGUAUUCGGAGACUAAUAUGAUGAAUUGUAUUCGGAGACUAAUCUUCUAUUGUAUUCGAUGAAUCUGUUGUUGAUGUGUGCUGUCUAUAUUUUGUCCAAUUAUACAUUUUGUAACCUGUGCAAAAAACAGAAAAUAAAAAAAAUAAAAAAACCUAAUAUUCAUACUAAUGGCGCAUCACAUCACAGUGCGCCAUUAGUAUGCCAAAGGAUACUAAUGGCGCAUCAUUAAACAGUGUGCCAUUAGUAUGCCGAAGUUACUAAUGGCGCAUCUUGUAGUUGUGCGCCAUUAGUAUGCCAAAGCACCUGGGUAUACAUGGCCCCCUGGGAGGCAUACUAAUGGCGCACUGUUGUAUAUACUAAUGGCGCAUCUGAGGUGCGCCAUUAGUAUACCAGAUACUAAUGGCGCACCUGUGGUGCGCCAUUAGUAAAAUAUACUAAUGGCGUGGCAAUAAUGGCGCACCACUAAUGCGCCAUUAAUGGCCAAAUUAGGUGCGCCAUUAGUAGGCCUUUUCCUAGUAGUGUUAAGAAGUGACUGUAAAUUUCAGCAUGUAGUAAUAAUUUUUCCUUACCGAUUUCCACUUACCAAGAGCGCUUCACUCCUCGGCAACAUCGCCAGAAAAAAGCCUUGAUGACCCACAAGUAUACGGGACCAAUCAUAGUCCUUUCGAUAAGUAAGAGUGUCAAACCCAACGAGGAGCAGAAGGAAAUGACGAGUAGUUUUCAGCAAGGUAUUAUCUGCAAGCACUGAAAUUAUAAGUAACGAGUAGUUUGCUAGCAAGAUAAUUGGUAACGAGCAAUUAUCGAUAAUAGUAACAAAAGUGCAGCAAGGUAUCCCAAUCCUUUUGAGGCAAAGGACAGGCCAAAAUGAUCUCUUGUGAUAAGCAAAGCGUUCUUGAGGGUACACAGGAAUUUCAUCUAGUCACUUUCAUCAUGUUGGUUUGAUUUGUGUUCGCUAAUUUGAUAAUUUGAUAUAUGGGUGGGCCGGUGCUUAGGUGCUCUUCUUACUUGAGCAAGGUUCCUACUUAUGACUAACCCCCUCACAAGCAUCCACAACUAUGAGAAAAAGUAUUAAGAAUAAAUCUAACCAUAUCAUUAAACUUUUGGAUCCAAAUCAGUCCCUUACGAAAUAGCGCGUAAAAUAGGGUUUAAGCUUCUGUCACUCUUGCAACCCAUCAUCUAAUAACUACUCCACAAUGCAUUCCCUUAGGCCUAAAUAUGGUGAAGUGUCAUGUAGUCAACAUUCACAUGACACCACUAAGGGAGUAACAACAUACAUACCAUCAAAAUAUCGAACACAUAUGAAGUUCACAUGAUUACUUGCAACAAGAUUUCUCCCGUGACCUCAAGAACAAAAGUAACUACUCACAAUGAUAAUCAUUCUCAAGAUCGGAGGGGUAUUAAAUAGUUUAUUGGAUCUGGACAUAUAGUCUUCCACCAAAUAAACCAUAUAGUAAUCAACUACAAGAUGUAAUCAACACUACUAGUCACCCACAAGUACCAAUCUAUAGUUCCAGUACAAAGAUUGAACACAAGAGAUGAACUAGAGUUUGAGAGGAGAUGGUGCUGUUAAAGAUGUUGAUGGAGAUUGCCCUCCCCAAGAUGGGAGAGUUGUCGGUGAUGACGAUGAUUUCCCCCUUCGGGAGGGAAGCUCCCCCGGUGGAAUCACUCCGCCAGAGGGCAAAAGUGCUCCUGCCCAAGUUCCGCCUCGAGACAGCGACGCUUCAUCCCAAAAGUCCUCCCCUUAUUUUUUCUAGGUCAAAAUGACUUAUAUACUAGAAGAGGGGCACCGGAGGUGGGCCGAGGAGGGCACAACCCACCAGGGCGCGCAUGGGCUCCCUGGCGUGCCCAGGUGGGUUGUGCCCACCUGGUGGGACCCCUCUGGUACUUAUCGGCUCCAAUAUUUCUUAUAUAUUCCAUAAAAAAUCUCUGUGAAGUUUCAACUCAUUUGGAGUUGUGACUGACAUAGCUUUUUUAGGUCCAGAUUUCCAGCUGCCGGAUUCUCCCUCUUUGUGUGUGCUUGCAUAUUAUGAGAGAAAAGGCAUUAGAAUUACUCCAAAAACAUUAUUGUGGAUAAAAAAUAAUAGUAGGAAAACACGAUGCAAAAUGGACGCAUCAUUCACCCAAAGUAAUUUCCAUAAAAGUACCACCCGCGGCGGAAUGUAAAAGAUUUCUAGAAACAAAAUUCAACCCAGCAUAAAAAAUUUGUAUGAUCAUCCAAAGAUUUAAACCAUGUGUAGGACAAUUUCUUAGCAUCAAUUUCAUUCUUUCCCAAGAUUGCGCAACAUGUUCAUGGUCAAGUUGCUUAAAAUUCAUGAUUUAUGUCCUAAGGGGAAUAAUUUUUGCGAGCGGAAAAUACUUAGUAAUAAAAGCAUCCUUGCACUUAUCCCAAGAAUCGAUACUAUUUCAUGGCAAAGAAGAAAACCAAAUAUUUGCACGAUCUCGCAAAGAAAACGGGAAUAAUUUCAAGUUCACAAUAUCAUUGUCCACAUCUUUUUUUCUUCUGCAUAUCUCAUAAUUCCAUGAAUGUGCUAAUAUGGGAUGCGGCAUCCUCAUUACGAGUAACAGAAAAUUGAUCUUUCAUGAAAAGAUUCAUCAAAGCGGUAUUAAUAUCACAAGACUCUGCACUUGUGGAGGGAGGAGCAAUCAGAGUGCUAAUAAAAUCAUUGUUGUUGGUAUUGGAGAAAUCACACAACUUGGUGUUCUCUUGAGUCAUCGUGACUAUGCAACAAGAUUGCACUCAAAAACGGAUCUGACGAGAAAACGACAGACGAAAAAGAGGGCGACUAAAACGACAAUUUUUUGUGAAGUGGGCGAGAUGAAAAUGAGAGGCAAAUGGCAAUUAAUGUAAAUUGUAAGGAGAUGAGAUUUGUGAUUAGGAACCUGGUAGAUGUUGUUGAUGUAUCGCCGGCAAUGCAGCCAGAAAUUCCUUUUGAUGCGGCUUGAACUACGUCGGUAUUUCCCCAAAGAGGAAGGGAUGAUGCAACACAGCUACAGUAGGUAUUUCCCUCAUUGAUGAGACCAAGGUUAUGGAACUAGUAGGAGAACCAUGUAACACUACGUGAACGGCACCUGCAGACAAAGAACAAAUACGUGCAACCUGACGUAAAAGUGGAGUUGUCAAUCCCUCCCGGGUAAAAGAUAGGUAAAAUUUGUAGUAGAUUGGAUAAAUAGAUCUCGCGGGAACGUGAGAUAAAAUAAAUAAAUAAAAAUUGCAGCAAGGUAUUUUUGGUUUUU
Molecule: long non-coding RNA, 46176 nt
Filed under: Triticum aestivum (bread wheat)
Lineage: Eukaryota; Viridiplantae; Streptophyta; Magnoliopsida; Poales; Poaceae
Description: long non-coding RNA (TAES_LNC001090)
Source: RNAcentral